Molecule: long non-coding RNA, 79001 nt
Filed under: Malus domestica (apple)
Lineage: Eukaryota; Viridiplantae; Streptophyta; Magnoliopsida; Rosales; Rosaceae
Description: long non-coding RNA (MDOM_LNC017786)
Source: RNAcentral
GAAGGUUAACUUGAUUAUGUUAAAUCAGUAAAAAUUUAUUAGGUUUUUAAGAAGGGAAUUCUGAAGGAAGAAAAAAAAGGGAAACAUAAGGAAAUUGUUAUUAUUAACUAUAAAGAAAAUAGUUAUCUUACACUUUCAAAUAAAAUAACAUUACAAAAUGGGGAAAGCACGAAACUAAAGGUAGCCCAUGAUAACCAAACAUGGUAAAAGGGCCACAAAGCAGAUUAAAUUAAAAGAUGCAAAUUCAAGCCUCAUGUCACGCAAACAAAUUAAUUAGGAGAAAAUGGAACUUUUUCCUCAAUUCACUUGACAUGAACAAUACUUUUCACAUAAAUAAGAACUUCAAAAUCCACAACCCUAUUGAGAAUAGGAGGAAUAUGAAGAUACUUGAGAUUUCUAGUACUAUAAUUAUAAGAGGUGGCUCUUCCAUCGGAAUCAAGCAUAAGAAGCUCAUCACUUCUCCAAAAUGUCAGGGGCUUCUUAAUGCCUUGUAAGGGUCCAAUGUUUAAAAGUUUUGUCCAUGAACUUUUAUCACCGUCAUAGUCAUCCAUUACCCAUAUUUCACAUGAUUCAGAAUCCUCACUCCUAUCAUAACGAGAGCAAAAAGAAGCAAGGGAUUCAUUUCGUAGAAAAAUAUAAUAAAACCUAAAACCGGAUUCUCUCCUAGAAGGCAGUUGUAUUAUAUGAAAUGUGUCAUCACCUAAAUCAAAAGAAAGUAUGUAUUCCUCGCCAUCUGUUGCAUACCAAUAACAAAAUCCCUUCAUGAACACUGAACGAGAACAAGAAUAGGUUGUACUUGAUAUAUCAAUCUUGAUCUCUUUCCAAGAAUUAGCAGUUGUGGUGUAUAACUCAGCCGUGUGAGGAAGAGCAAUACGAUAAUAAUAUGUUCGUUCAUCAUCUGAAUACUCACAAUUUUCUAUAAUUCGCACAACCUUGUAUUCUUUAGCAUUGCAAUCAUAUCCAAAUCCCAAAGCUUGAAAGUUAGUUUCCAAUUCGAAUUUUCUCUCAGGAGGGGAAGGUAGAAGAAGGCAUGAAUCGGGAAGUUGCUUGAAUUCCCUCGUUGCAGGAUUGCAUAAAAGAACAUUUUUCCCAGCUUCUACACAGAGUAUCCCAUUGCAAUAACCAAAAAUCAGUACAAAAUCAUGAUCUUUCAAUGCAAACGGUAUAUUUAGGUCCUCAACAUCGUAAUGAAGGUUGUUCUCAUCACUAUCAAUGGAAAAAUUAAUCAUGGACCAGAAAACUUCUUGUUUCCAACUCUGGUCUGGGAAAAUGUGAGCCUGAGAACGGUUGAGAAGGAUACAAGUGGAGGAUGAGAGUUUGUUGUCCACGGAAUUGCUGAGGUGUUUGGCCACAAAACUUAGAUUGUUGAUGAGAGAGAACCAAGACUUGUGUAUGCAUUUGAACCGCAUCAGAGACUUGGGCGGUAACCUGGAUAAGAUUUCAACUACCCUAUCUUCAGGAGUUUCACUUUCACGCACAUGGGACAUUUCAAUAAUUUUGUUUGCAGGAUAGAACACAACCAGUUUGAGAACCAAACUAAAUGAAACUCAAAGUCCCUAAGGCCUGGUAGAUUGAGGUUCAAUUACUAAACAUAUUACCUCAUAAGAUGCCAAAAUUCAACAGUACUAAAUAAACUUGGAAUUCUACAACCACAACAUAUAGCUAUCAAAUAAAACAGGGUUGAUCUAGAGUUGGUGGCUUUUUUAGUUUUCCAAACAAAAUAGGGGUGAUUAAAUCAGUUUCGAGUUUAAUGGAGAAUCAUACGUUCAAAUUUUACUAUUUUUAAUUUCUUAUUGAUACAAAAAAAAAAAAAAAAAAAAAAAAAAAAAAAAAAAAAAAAAACCAUUCAAAUUUCACCUUUUAAUUCUACAUUUAAUUAACUAAGAAAGGAAAAUUCACAUAUUCAUACACGAGUUUUAAUUAAUAGAAAACUCCAUUCAAAUCCUUGUAAAAUAUGACUUUUAGGCUAAAACCUUGUUCUAAAAGAUUAAAAUCUAAUUUUAGUCAUUUGAUAUAUUUAAUCAGAUCAAUUGUUUAAUUAUGUUUUGAUGUUUAUUGCUAUUUUUUACAAUGCACUUUGGUACAAACAUUUUAAUAUAUUAAUUCCUUAUAAUAUAGUUUGGUACACACAUUUAGGACCAUCAAUUCAUUUUAAUAUAUUUUCAGUACACUUAUGUAUUUACAUUUUUUUUUCUUAUGUGUCACUUUUUAGUGUUUUCUUAUUUUGGUACAUUUAUCUCAUUCGUCCCAAAUUUAAUCAUUUUAUUUCCUGACACUAGAAAAUUUCAAAAAGCCCAUUAUGGGCUAAGUAGAAAUCCUACAUCUGAGACAUUGUCGCUCUUUGUCCAUUUUCUUGUCCUUCAAGUUAGUACAUGUCCGUAUGAAGAUGUCAGUGAACGAGACGUAAAUCAUACGUAAAGUCAACAAUUUAAGCACAUUUCUUAAUGAGGGGCAAAAUGAUAAUUUUGCAUUAUCGAGAAUCCAUGAUUUGUAUCUUGAGAUAAUUGUGGGUGUCGGUAUUGCAGGCUACAAACUGUGAUAUUAGUAUUUUAUUGUUUAGGGCCGGUUCUGUUAGUACUUUAUUAUUUAGGCCUCAUGCCUAAUUAAAUAUCUUGGUUUGACACAAAGACACACUCACAUAUUUUCUAGGACCCAUGACUACAAUCGCGUCGGCGCUAGCAAAACAUAAAGGGCAAUAUCAUAAAUUUACUUGUCUAUGCGUUGUCACUUUAUUAACUGAAAAUAUGACUUUAACCCUUGAAACUCUUUUUUUUCCACAUAAAAUCCGACAAAAGUUAUUUGCUUGACUAAAACCCAUUGACUAGUCUCCAAAUAAGCAAAUUUAUUAAUUAUGUUUGACUUUACCCAUUUAAAAUUUUUCGGAUGCCUAACAUACCCUCAUUUAAAUGUUUAACGUACACAAUUAAUUCUACGAAAAUUGUUAGGGAGAAUUAAUGAUUUUACAAAAAUAAUAUUUUACAUAUAAAUGUAGGGAUUUGUUGGUUUGGAUCCGUGAUAAUAUCAAUUUGAUAAUCAAUUUCCAUAGUGAGGGUGCGGUGGUGUGCCACACAAUCUCCCAUUCCCCAUUUUUUUUUUCAAAUCCCUUAGGGUUUAGGAAACCCAAAUUUGCUUCUAAUUUAAUUUGAUACUUUGACUCACAAAUUCCACAUAACAAUUUAAUUGUGUGAUGCAUGAAACAAAUAUAUAUAUUGACAAAUAUAUGAACAUAUACAAUAUAUAUAUAUAUAUAAAGGAAAGUAUAAACAUAGAGGGGUUCAUGCAUUAUGGGGAAUGUUUUCAUGCUUCGUGGACGUUUCAAAUAUCUUCUUUUAUUUUAAACGUACCUGAUUAGCAGAAAACGAUAAGCCUUUGAAUUUGGUGGAUGAUAGCAUCCUCCAACGAUGCGUCAAUUCCUCAGCUUCUGGCAAAAGCGUGCUGAUAACGUGUUGUAGGCCUAUUUGAUUGAACAAUCUAGGGUUUAGAGAGAGGGGACCGACCACUAUUAGAGAGAAGAGAUAUUGAUUUAAUUCUGAGGUGUGUUUGAUUCACCCCAUUAUUCCUUUAUUUAUAGUAGUAGGAAGGGUAAAACCUUUCCCUUUAGGAUUACAACAUUUAAUAGGUAAUCUAAUCCUAAUAGGAUAUAAGAUACAUUCCCAUAUUCCUUAGGAUUUACACAAUCACAUUCCUAUUCUAAAUAUGACUGCAACAAUAAAAAAAUUGUUGUCAAAGUAAAAAUAUAUAAAUUAAUGGAGAUAAAAUUGUAGGUAAAUUAAUUUUAGGACAAAGAAAAAGAAAAGAACCAACUAUAGGUGAAUUAUUUACAUAUAUAGUGUAGAAUAUUUGGUUCACAUAAAAAAUGUAGGUAAAUAGGUAUCACAUACAUAAUUUACCUACUUCCAUAAUUUACCUACUUUCUAUUAAUUUACCUACUUGCAUUAUAGGUCAAAUACCAACAAAAUAUGAGAAUAUUAUUUGCAUAUAUCAUACGUAAAUUGCCAAAAGAAAUAUGAGAAUAUUUUGUGUAUAUACUGUAGGUAAAUAACCUACUAUAGGACAAUAGAAUUUGUAUAGGUAAAUUAGUAGAGAUGUUUUACUAUUAUAUAUAAGGAGAAUAAUUUACCAUGAAUAACAAUGUAGUCAUGAUUAAGGUAAUGCACUAGAUUGUUGUAGAAAUUAAAAAAAUAAAUAAAUAAAUGGACAUGAUGAUUAAUCAGAUUUUAAGGCCCUUGAUUGAAGCUAAAAUUCAAGUGUGAGAAACAGUAGGCCUGGCAAACGAGUCGUGUCUAUCAUAUUUGUGUCGUUUUCAUGUAACACAUGUUAUCUUAACAGGUCGUGUCGUGUCACACCUGUUAAGAAAAAAAAAAAAAAUUUCUUAAAUUUGCACAUACCACACAUUGCCACAUAAAUAUUACUUCAAACCAUUAAAACACAUUUGUAGUUUAAAUACUACAUCUACACUCGAAAAUAAGAGUCUAAUAAAUAAACAUUCAUACACUACUAGUCUAUUACAAAAUAUUAAAUGUGCAAGAUAUGCAAAAUGAAAGAGUUUUGGAUUUCAACAUUGUGAAGUCUUUCUCAAAAGUUUAAACCUUGUCAAUGGAACUCAAAGCUUGCAUGUUAUUCCUUUUGCAAAAUCCUCAAUUUUCAUUGAUCAUCCACUAGUGUAAAUAUUUUAAAUUGAAGAUCGAAUUCAUUCAUUGUAUUCAUAUAAGGUCAAGGAGUGUAGCUAUAAAAAAUCAUCAAAAUCGGAGUUCAAAUAACCGUUAAAUCGUGAUUUAGCGUUGAUAACUGUUGAAAAGUUUUGUCCCAUUACUUGAUCUUUGAAAGUUUGUUUUUUGUGAUUUUUGGUGUAUGUGAUCUUGAAGCAUAUAAAAACAAGUUUGUCGGUUGGAUCGUUGAAAUUAGUUUCGUAGAAUGCAUAUCCCAUCAAAACGAUAGAUUCACUAACACUUAGAGUUUAUUUAUACGUUCAUUAAGUAUAACAUAACAUUUUAUGGUAUCCACUAAUGUAAAUAUUUUAAAUUGAAGAUCGAAUUCAUUCAUUGUAUUCAUAUAGGGUCAAGGUGUAGCUGUGAAAAAUCAUCAAAAUCAGAGUUAAAAUAACUGUUAAAUUGUGAUUUUUCGUUUAUAACCGUCAAAAAGUUUUGUCUCGUUACUUGAUCUCUGAAUGUUUGUUUUUUGCAAUUUUUGGCGUAUGCGAUCUCGAAGUAAUAUAAACAUGUUUGAUGGUUGGAUCAUUGAAACUAGUUUCGUAAAAUACGUAUCCCAUCAAAACAAUAGAUUCACUAACACUUAAGAGUUUAUUCAAACUUUCAUUAAGUAUAACAUAAGAUUAUGUGGUAUCCACUAUUGUAAAUAUUUUAAAUUGAAGAUCGAGUUCAUUCAUUGUAUUCAUAUAGGAUCAAGGAGUGUAGCUGUAAAAAAAAUCAUCAAAAUCGGAGUUAAAAUAACCGUUAAAUCAUGAUUUUUCGUUUAUAACUAUCGAAAAAUUUUGUCCUGUUACUUGAUCUCUGAAUUUUUUUUUUUUUUUUUUGCGAUUUUUAGCGUAUGCGAUCUCGAAGCAUAUACAAACAACUUUGACGGUUGGAUCAUUGAAAUUAGUUCGUAGAAUGCGUAUCUCAUCAAAACAAUAAAUUCACUAACACGAGUUUAUUCAUACAUUCAUUUAGUAUAAAUAAGAUUUUAUGGUAUCCACUAUUGUAAAUAUUUUAAAUUUAAGAUCGAGUUCAUUCAUUGUGUUCAUAUAGGGUCAAGGAGUAUAGCUGUAAAAAAUCAUCAAAAUCGAAGUUAAAAUAACCUUUAAAUCGUGAUUUUUCGUUGAUAACCGUCUAAAUGUUUUGUCCCGUUACUUGAUCUUUGAAUGUUUUUUUUGUUGCAAUUUUUGGCGUUUAAGAUCUCGAAGUAUAUACAAACAUGUUUGAUGGUUGGAUCGUUGAAACUAGUUUCGUAGAAUGCGUAUCCCAUCAAAACAUUAGAUUCACUAACAUUUAAGAGUUUAUUCAUACUUUCAUUAAGUAUAACAUAAGUGAUAGGAGCAUAUUUAUGCGCCUUAGUUAGUUAGUUCUUAUGCAUUUAUGUUGUGUUUUUUUAGUUAAGUUAGUCUUUUAAGCUAUUUUCAUGUGUUUUCAGGUUUUAGAGACAAAGUGAGCAAAAGGAAGCAAUUUGGAGCAUUUUGGAGCAAAAUUGGGCUAGAAUGGAGUUCAUGCAUAUGUAGCACAAGGGAUGGAUGAAUUUGAAGGAUUGAUGAAGCUAGGAAUGUGUUUUGAAGUUGAAGAAUUGAAGAUACAAAGUUUCCUAGUUGAAGUAGGAAAGGGCUUAAAUGAAGGAUUCCUAAAUAAAGAAGGAUUCCUAAUCAAUGUAGGAGUCCUAAUUGAAGAUGGAUUCCUAGACACAUGAAGUUUCCUACUCAAGCAAGGUUUCCUAUGUGAAGAAGAAGAGUUAAAGUCAAAGAAUCAGCUCAAGAGAAGGAAUCUUAUCCAAAACCUCAUCCAUAACCUUAUCUUAGCUUAUCUUAUCCAAACAAACCUUAUCCUAUCCUAUCUUAUCCUAAUCCUAAACUAUCCACAUUUCAGCCACUUAGGAGGGUUUCUAACUAGAUUAGGACACAUUAAAAUUGGUUUUUAGAAGCCCUUAUCCACUCCUACAAAGGUGCCAUACCUUAUCCCUUGUUUUUCUAGAAAUCAGCCACAAAACAACCUUUCUAGAAGACCUUAUCCCUUGUCCUACAAAAGUGACGCCCCAAACCUUUCUAGAACUUCUAGAAACCUGAUUAUUCCUUUCCCCCUUGGUCUCUAAAAGCCUUAGCCUUUUCCUUCAAGGAUUGUGUGUUAUUAUCCUAUACAAAUUAGGCCUUUAAAUCCUUUUCCUUUGCUACAUAGGGGCUGCGAAUUUCAGCCUAUAAAUACCAUCUUUUGCUGCACCAUUUAGUCACCAUCCUCUACCAUAUUUUCACUACACCAUUCACCCAAAUAUACCUCUUGUGCCGUGAGUUUGCAAAGGAGAAGAAGGAAGAACUCUUGGAGCCGUGCAUGCCAUUCAAAGAGCUUGGAUUGUGGAGCGUUUCUAGGUGUUUUCUAUCUUUGUUUUAAUGUUUAAAUUUAUUUAUCUUUGUUUAUUUGCGAGUAUGAGGAACUAAACCCCCUUGGCUAGGGGGGGAUUCGAAACCAUGUUUAUGCUUGCUAUAUGAUUUGAUUACUUCUAAUUGCGUUUCAUAAGUUGUGAGUUCAAUUUGCUUAUCUAUGUGAAUUAAAACUUAUUCUUGUAUGUUGAUUGAGGGUCGACACUUAGUUUGCAUGCAUGAAUUUGAUGCUAGGAUAUAAGGGAAUUUCACCUAAUCGUUAUGAACUUAUAUUCACAAGUAGUAAAGGUUGUUGAUCACAAUCGUGUUAAGUAAAUUCUUGGCAUAAGUUUCAUGCAAUCAUAGUAACAAGUGUUUCGUCAAUGCUUAUGGUUUUCAUAGAACUUAAUGAUUCUUGCUUGUAUCUCUAUUAUGCAAUCAUGUAGGGGACUUGUAGGGAAUGCUUUGGGUUGUCGUAUGCAAUUCAUCCAAUUCAAUAACUUAAGGAAAAUCUGAGGGUUAAUUUAAGCGGACCUAAUUAACUUGGGGCGUUGAGAAUUCAUGGUUUAUUGAAAAGCAAUUGGAAAUCGUUUUAUAUGCAAGUGUGACAUGUGUGGAGAUGAACCCCUUAGCUAGCCUUCCAUCCAUUCAAAUCAUCCAAAUUCGUUUUAAAAUAUGUUUUAGUUUACAAAGUUUUGUUUUGUUUUUAAAUUCGUCCAAAAUCAAUCCCCCUUUAGUUUUAAGUGUCAUAUUAGUUAAAAACCCAUUUAGUUUGUGUUUUUAGGUGUCUUGAGACAAGUUUAAACCAAUUUUCGUCCAAAUUCUUCCCUAGUGUCCAAAACUGCCCAGAAAGUGGUUUUAAGGCAGUUUUGAGUGUUUAUUUGCUGUUUUGAGUCUUUUGGUUUGUUUUAGUGUUUUAAAAUUUAGUUUUACAUUCUUGGAGUCUAGUUAGUGUUUUAAACUUGUUUUUACGUUUUUGAGUCAAGUCCAAGUGAUUUUGCAAUCCCUCCUAAUCCCUGGCCUAGAACGAUCCCUACUUACAUACUUGCUACAAUUGAUAAAAAGAGGGUUAAUUUGAGUGUCAACAUAAUUUUCACAUCAAUAAGAUCACUAGUGUAAAUAUUUUAAAUUGAAGAUCGAGUUAUUUCAUUAUAUUCAUAGAGGGUCAAAGAGUAGUUAUAAAAUCAUCAAAAUCGGAGUUAAAAUAACUGUUAAAUAUUGAUUUUUCUUUGAUAACCGUCAAAAAGUUUUGUCCCGUUGCUUGAUCUGAAUGUUUGUUUUGUGCAAUUUUUUGUUGAUGUGAUCUCGAAGCAUAUACAAACAAGUUUGACGGUUAGAUCAUUAAAAUUAGUUUUGUAGAAUUCGUAUCCCAUCAAGUUCAAUGAUAUAUAUAUAUAUAUAUAUAUAUAUAUAUAUUAAGUAGAUUUAAAUUUAUUUAUUUUUUACGUAUAACACUUAAGAAAUUGAAUGGUAUGUAUAUUUAAGCCGAUCCAACGGUCAUCAAUUUUUAAUAUUUAAUUUAAUAUAUAUAUAUAUAAUUAUUAUAAUUUUUAGGGGUAUAAAAUUGUUAAAUUAAUAUAUAUAAUUAUUAUAGUAUUUUUUUUAGGGUUAUAUAAUUUUUAAAUUAAUAUUUUACUUAUCGUGUAUCGUGUUACCCACGUGUAUACCCAAACCAACCCGUUAUCUUAACAGGUGUUUAUCGGGUUACCUGAUAACGACCCGAUUCGUUAUCGUGUCAACCCGAACACCUGUUAAUUUCGUGUCGUAUCGGGUUGGGUUAUCGAAUCGUAUCAGGAAUUGCCAGGCCUAAGAAACAAUGUAAAAUGGUGUGGCAAAAAUUGUAAAUAAUUUGUAAUAGUAGGUUACUUAUAUUCUCAUAUGGUAGUUUAAUUGACUUUUGGAUUUUUCUUGGAUGUUUAAUUAUAUGUGGGUUUAUAUUUAAAAAUCAUGACUUUUUAGGAUCAAUAUCUAAAGAACCCUUGAUUAAUACUUUGUUUGAUGGGUGCUUUGUGUCCCGUGGGACCCACCCACGUCGAACUUUUUCUCUUCUCUGUUUAACCCUUUUCGUGUACUCCGUCAUCAUUUCUCUUGUUCUCACUCUCUAAUCUUCUUUCAAAAUCUCCCUCUCACCCAACUUUUUAUUCCUGUCUCCUCAUUAUCACUCUUUACAACUCUCUAUUUUCUCUAUGUAAAGCACAGUGAAGCCGUGAAGCGGCGCCAAACCAAAGGGAACACUAGGGAUGGGCAACGGUUAUGGCAGUCGGAUAACCACGGUUAUUUACCCAUAACUGUUUAUGUUCAUACCCGCAUAACUGUUUACCCGUUGGAUAAUUACAUAAAUGGUUAUACCCAUAACCAUAACCGUUUAUAAACGAUUAUCCAUACCCAUAACCGUGUACCCAUUUAACCAUAACCAUUUACCCAUUUAACCAUAACCAUUUACUCAUUUACCUGUUUUUGAACCCAUUUAUCAUUUUUUUACCCAUUUACUUCUUUUUUCGCCCAUCUACAUUAUUUUUUUUAACAAGUUGAAAAUUACAAAAGAAAAUGUUGUCGUAAUUUUCAUUUUCUGAUAAUUAAACACCGUUAUAAGUACAUUUUAGCAUACAUUUCCCUAUUUUAAUCAUUUAAGUCCUCAUAUAAUUCCAAUAAUUGAAAUAAUAGUUUACAAACGAUAUUUUUCUGCUACACCUAAGCAAGUCUUUAAUUAUAAUCCAUAUGAUUAAAAAGCAAAGUUCUAAAAACAAAAAGUAAUCAUUAUCUUGAAUACUAGAAUUCAAAGCUCCAAAAUAUUCCGAAACUAAACACUUUCGAACACGUUCAAUCACAAAGUAUCAUUGACUCGUUGUCACCAAAAGAGGCCUACAAAAGAAAUGUAUAAUUGAAUUAGUGUGCAUAAAUUGAAUGAGUAUCAUCAAUAACUCCAAAGUAAAAAACAAAAAUAAAGAUUAGUUUUUACCACAUUCACAUCAGUAUCAUCAUCGAAUGAAGAAUCUUCAACAUGGGUAGAGUUUGAAUCUGGUUCAACAGUAAAAUUUAAAAUUAGGCUAAAAUAGUAAAUUUUUGAACAUAUACAUAAUUUAUAUGAAAUUUUACAGUAAGUACCUCGCAUCUGACCCCACAACCAGUCUCGAGAACACAUGAGUGCUUCCACUGUGCUUGAAUGAAGUCGGCUACGAUGUGGACUAAUAAUCCUACCACCAAUACUAAAUGAAGACUCUAAAGCUACUGUAGAUACAAGAAUAGCCAAAGUAUCUCGAGCUAUCUGAUGCAAAAUAGGAUAUUUAAUCCCAUUUGUCUUCCACAACGACAAUAUAUCAAAAUCUUGAGUCCUAGGCAAGACUUUCUCCCCCAAAUAUAGGUCUAAGUCAGAUUGUUCAUUACCAAUGGUAGAAUCCAUAACAAACUGGUCAUAAGAUGUUAAAGGAUCACCAACUCUGAAAUCACAUGACUGUAAUGGAAAAUCAGUUGAAGAAGAAUAUUCAGAAGACCGAAGCCCAGGUCUAUGCUUCAAUUCAUACUCUUUGACAAACUUAACAGCCAAGUCAAAGACUUUCUCAAUUUCCGAUGAAGCAUUCUCUUUAUAAAUAAGAGAAAAAUAAUACUCAAUCAAUUUCAUCUUGAACCUUAGAUCCAGAAUAGCUGCAAUUGCCAUAGCACCAUAAAUUUUAUGUCAAUACUUUUCAAACUUGAUUGACAUCUUUGUUGCCAUUAACUUAACUUCAACAUGGUCAAACUCAAGCCACUUACAGAUUGCAAUCCUAAUCUGAUACACAUUUGGAAAAUAAAGAUUUGAUGUGGGAUACUUGAUCCCAGAAAAUAACUCAGUCACUUGGUGAAAGAUCUCCAACUUUUCAGCAAUCAUGUUAGUCUUUGCCCCAUCUUCUUCACUUGGAACAUUUUUAUAUGAAGGCUCACACUGCUUUAAACGAGGAAAUACAUCUUUAUAUACCAAUGCAGUGGUAAGCAUCACAUACAUCGAGUUCCACUUAGUUUUACAAUCAAGGACUAACUUCCUAGAGAACUUAAUUUUCAUUUGUUGAGCUAUCUCAACAAAUUUUUCCUCUCUUUUUGUUGUCCAAGACCAAUAUGAAACACUAUUCCGAAUAGUCUCAAUACUAUCCCUAAUCACAUCCAAUCCAUCCUUAACUAUCAAAUUAAGUAUGUGAGCACAACAACGCAUAUGAAAUAAUUCUCCGUUUAACACAAGUGAAAGCUUGCAAUAUGUCAUUAUAUCCUUAAUCCACAUGUCAGUCGUGAUUGCAAUUUUACUCUUGUUCACUUGCAACAACUUCAUGGUCUCUCCCUUUUCACAUUCAAAUACUUUCAUAAUAUCCCUCUUGAUAGUACUUCUAGAAAUUAUCUUAAAUAAAGGUUGCAAUGAAUUGCAAAACCUCUUAAAACCCAAGUGGUCCACCAUAGAUAAAGGAUAAUCAUGUAAGAUAAUCAUAUAAGCUAGCUCUUUCGUAGCAUUACCUUCAUCAAAACUAUAUGCACCAUGUUUAACAGACUCAUCACCAGUUAUAACUGGACUCUUUUUCUUUGUCAUCAAUACAGGACAUGUUCUAACAUGUGAAAGUAAAGAUGAAGAUUAAUUGGUUCAAUAUCUUGGUUCUCGCUUUGAGUCUGCAUCUUGGAACUAGUUGAAACAGUUGGAUACAAGACUUUUUUAAGAUUUAAAGAUCUAAUCCACGUUCACAUCACUACUAGGUUCUAUGCAAUUAUUUUUUUUUUCCAAACAUGACCACACGAACAGGUACGAUAUGAUGUUACCUAUUACCGCAAUUUAUAAGGCCUGAAGGGCGCAAUUCCAUCUUGUUCCAAUUGUAAAGAUUGACAAAUAAUUCAUACGAAAAGAGUUCCUGCUAAAACAAAUACAAAUAAUCAAUUCACAAAUUAUAUUGCAGGUGGAAUAUUUUACACACGUAUUUGAUUUAUGCAGCAAUCUUACUAAUGUUAAUGUUUAAUCUCACAAAAUAGGCCCACAUUAAUUACAAAUACCAAGUUACCAAAUUUAUAAUCGGUGGAAUGAACCCUAUUGGCCCCUCCAAUUCAAUUUUGGUGGAAUGAUGAAUGCAAGCAAUAUAUAAUCGGUGGAAUGAACCCUAUUGGCCCCUCCAAUUCAAUUUUGGUGUCGGAAUUAAGAACUUUGAUGCCGAUAUUUUGUUUAUUUUCCUUGCUGUUAAUUUAUCUAGUAUAACUUCACCAUUGAACUUGACCCUAUGUUAAUGUUCUGUAUAUUUUGGUGCAACUGCAGGCUGUGAAAAAUCUAAAUUUAAUGGAUUACACUAAAAAUCAACCAACACUUUCCUUUUCCAUUAUGCAAAUUGAAGUACCUCAGAGAUUGGAGUAAAAAUCAACCAACACUUUCCUGUUCCAUUAUGCAAAAUUGUAAAUUAUGUAGAUAAUCGAAUUACUUCAAAGAUUAGCACUUCAAAGAUGAGAGUACAGCUAAACUAAAAAUCUCUCCAAAAAUUGAAUUACUUCAGACAUCUAAACUAAAAAUCAACCAACAUUUUUAAUAAAAUCAAGAAGUAUGAAAUUUUUUAAUAAAAUCAAGAACAAUGCCUAAUCAAGACUAGAUUUCACAAACCCAAAAUCUCAAACCCUAAAUUAAUUCCAAAAUUUACCUAAUUUGGGGGAUAAUCGAUGUACAGUGCCCUGAAAUCUGGAUGAAGAAGUCAAGGGAGAGAAAUUAGAGAGGUGAGCGGCGCAUGUGGCCAUAGCUCUACCUCUAUGCUGUGAAGGAAGGCUCUUCGACACAGUCAAGGUUUGAGGGAUGAGAAGUCGAAAGAGAGAAAUCAGAGGGUCUGUGUGAUGUGGGUGUGACCGGAUUCUGAGGUGAGAAGGUUGUCUUAGGUGAGGUCUAGUCAAAGUCGAGGGGUGGAGAGAGAGAGAGCGACGGAGAGAGAGAGUGAUGGAGUUGUGAGUUCUCUGAGGGUUUUUAAUUUUUUUUUUAAUUUUACAUAUAUUAAAUUAAAUAGGUAAAUGGAUACAUGUUAUAACGGCGAAUAUUACCCACCGAUGGAUACCCGUUAUAACCGCGCAUAAUACCCAUAACCGUCCAUUUAAAUUUCAUGGAUAAACAGUUAUACCCAUAACCGUUUAUUUGUCUAAACGGUUAUCCAUAACCAUAACCGUCAAUUUUAAAUGGGCGAGUCACCGCGAUUUCCAAUACCGAUGGGUAUUUUGUCCAUACUAAUCCCUGGCGAUGUAUCAAACCCAAAAACCCACCCUUGCUUGCCGAACUCAGCAACGGCCUCAUUGCUUUUUUUUGGGAAAUCACGACUUGAAGAUGUGAAUCUUGGGUUAGUUCAUUAUCUCUGAUGAUAAUCAUUAGAAUUUCACGUCAAAAUUCAUUGAAAUUUAUGGGAUUCCCAUCCAAAUCCCCAUGGUUCUCACACCAACCGAUAGUGAGGAUACCCCUUCAUCGCUGAAAUUGGUUCGUAGUCAAACCCACGGCCUUGCACCGCGGUCUCUAUCCCAAAACAUAGCCUUCUGAAGUGGCGGCGUUUGUCUUCUUCCUCGGCGACUACACCCAGUAAACGCUGGGUGUUUUGGAUCUUAGCCCGAGCCUACUUUGGGCUUGGUUCAUCCUUCCCACAUCGAGAAAGUUUCUCUUCUGGACUCUCAUGCAAUGACCCACUGCCCCUUUGCUUGGCCUGUAAACACCAGCUCGCCAGGGCUAUGGCGUCCCCUGCACAGUGAAGCAUUAGAUCCUUGCCCUGUGGGCUUCUGGAUCCUGCCUACUUAGUUAGGCUUACUUACUACAGUCCAGCUUGCCCAGCACCAACUCGUAGCCCAAUUUUUGGGCCUGGGCUUCACGAUUCACUUGUUUUAAGUCCCGUGUGGGCUUUGGCUCAACUUUGGACCAUCGAAUUUCAUCACCUUAUUUUUUUUAGGCAUUAUUUGUUAGGUUUAUAUUUUAUUGUCGAAUUUGAACAAAGUCGACUUUACCGUUUUAGAUAUCUUCAGAAGAAACUGCCUCAAGUGGGUUCAAGAUGUGAAGCUCCACCUCAUCGCUAAAAGCCUUAGAGCCACUAUUAAAGCUGAGACGGAUGUCCCGGUUGGCGAAGCUGAGAAAGCUAUUGCCAUUAUCUUCAUACAAAGACAUACAUGGUGCACUACAAACCAAGUACCUCCUUGAAGAAGGUCCAUAAUCUUUUUAAGUUGCUUUGGUGGAUCAUUUCAAUCGCUAAAGAUACAUCUUCUUGCCUGAAGCAAAACACGACUGGCAACAUUUGUGCUUCCAAGACUUUAAGUCCGUGAAUGAAUACAAUUUUGAAGUUUAUUGAAUUCGAUCACUUCUAAAAUCUUGUAACGAGGACUUGACUGAAGAGGAUCUCUUGGAGAAGACUUAUUCGACCUUCUUUGCGAUCAAUAUUGCCCUGCAACAAUGACAUCAGGCUUUGUAGUUCACUAAGUUUUCAGAUUUGAUCUCUGUUUUACUUUUUGCUAAAAAACUGAAUCAACUGUUGAUGAAGAAUCAUCAAGUUGAACCUACUAGCUCGACUGCUUUGCAUGAAGCACAAACUAGCAAGAAACGAAGCUUGAACCACCAUUCUAGGUGUGGUAGGCAUGACCAUAAGCCGCUCCACUAUGGUUAAUAGAGCGAGGCCCAUCCAAUAGAGGAAAUAGAGCCUUAAACUUCAAGAAUAAAGGCAAAGCACCUAACGCCAUGGAUGCAAAUAUGUGAUACUGUUAUGGUUCUUGUGUGUGCCGAGCUCUUCCUAAAGUUGUAGUUGAGUAACAUUCUUGUCUUUAGAAGUUUGAAUUAAACUUUGCUCAAAUGGUGGAACUAGAAGAUACAAAGAUGAAGGUUUUUGACUUUCAAGAGGCAUUUAUUCUUAUGGAAGAAUAGAUUCUUUGAUAUGGGCCCACAUACUGGCCGAAUUUUACCACUUAGGGUCGAAUUCUCUAAGUAGCCGAGUACACACAAACCCGCCCCCCUUUAUGUUUGGAUAAUUUGUUAGUGUUUGUUUUAAAUUUUAAUAUUAAGUUUUAUGGAUUAUUUUCUCGAAUGAUUAAUUUAAUGAAUGGAAUAUACUUUUUGAAUCUAUUUAUACUAGUGAGAAAUUCAAUUAAAUCAUUUUUAGAUAUGACUAGUGGGAAGUUGGUGGUCUGGCAGAAAGUGCAACCACACACACCAUUUUGGGUGAACACACCUAUUUUACUAAAUUCGUGCCGCAGAAUGCACCCUUGACAACCCUCUCAGGUCCAUCUAACAUAUUUGAAUAAUACAGACAUAACCGUAUAAUGUUGUCCAAUUAUACUAUAUUGACCAUUAAUGAGGCAUUUUACUCUCCACGUUCCGGGAGAACGUUGUUGAGUUUUAAAGACAUUUGAGGUAAUAAUUAUCACAUUGAAGCCUCUAUAGAAAACAUAAUUGAAUUUAUGUACGUCAAUUUCUAUGAAUAUGGUCAGAAGCAUAUUCUAGAAAAGAUGGAGCAUCUCCCGAGUGAUUUGUAUAUUACAACCAUCCACUUCAUAGUGAGCCAAUAUGUGGGCGGCCCUACCUCAAAGAUUGCACAUCAAAUUUUGUUUUGGCAUGAUUGUUUAGGACGCCUUGGACGAGUUGUGAUACGUCGUAUUCUCAAAUCUACUCAAGGGCAUUCCCUAGCACUGUGGUAUUAAAGAUUAAGACUCAUCUCAUUUAUGCUAUUAUGCCUAUGUGCCAUUUCCACCUUUGAAUUUCCCUCUGUCAUUUCCUCUCUCCAACAAACCAAACCUGGCUUCCAACGACUCUUUCUCUCUCAAAAUUUGCACUCAUAGCCGCCCCAAUUCUCCAAUUCCUCUGUACUGCUCAUUCAAUACCCCCAAACUUAGGUGUAGUUUGGGAUUGAGGUGAUUAAAAAAAAGUUGGGAUGAAAAAAAGCUAAUAGGGGUUUUGGUGUUUGGUAAACAUUCCAAAACAGCUUUAUUUCAAAGUUUCACGUGAAAAAAAGCCAAAAAGUGAAAGCUGCAUUUUGCAACUUCAAGAAGCCGCCUAUUAUCCAAAACACGGAGCUACAGUACCAAGUUAAUGAAUUUUUUCAAUUUGCCAAUACUGCCCCCUCCUUUCUCCUUCUCCUGAUUCCUACACUCUGCUCUCUCUCUUUCUCUCUCGCAAAACACGCCCCUGCACCUCUUCCUCCUCCUCCUUUUCCUUUCUCUCCGUCGAUCUCAGCGCCACACCGUCGUCGCCUUCCAAGUACCAGGUACUCAAUUUGCUUUCAAUUUUUACUGUAAUUAAUUAAUUUAAUUUUUAGGUUAGGGUUUGGUUGCUCUCUGAUGAUGAACCCAUUUUUUUUGGGUUUUCUGAAACAGGGUUUUGUGUGGCAACCAACGAACGAGCUUGAUCUCAUUGAUUAGGUAAACAUAACUCUUUCUCUCUCCCUCUCCAUCUCUCUCUCUCUCUCUCUCUCUCUCUCUCUCUCUUCCAUCGUUGUGGGAAUUUCAGUUUUGGUCUUUGAAUUAAUGUUCUAAUUUUGGGGUUUGAAUUAAUUCUCUAAAUUUCAGUUUUGGGGUUUGAAUUAAGGUUAUUAUCAUGAGAUCCAUGAAGCAAUUUCAGUUCUUAGGGUUUGAUUGGCAACGAUGGUGUUGCUCUGUUUGUUAUCAUGAGAUCCAUGAACCCAAAUCUCCUCCUCUUUUUCUGCCCUCUUUUAUUUCUUAUCAUUUUGUCUUACUUUUCUACCCUUGAUUAAGGUAGACGAAGACACAAGUCAGAGCUAUCAAUGCAUUCUCUUUGCUGCCGUCGCGCCGCUUUUUUUUUGGUAUUUUUUCGUUCUGGUUGUGAUUUUUUUUUGGCCAACUUUUUGCUUGAUUUAUUGACGAGAAAUUGGUUAAGUUUGGAUUAUGUUGAUGUGGUUAACAUUUCUUUGUUUGACAAGGGUUUCUAAUUUCUUAGAUAUGUGGGUUUAUAUUAGAAAGAUUUUUCAUUUAAACAUUGUGAGUGUAGAAAAUAUGUAGUAAUUAAUGAAAGAAGUUUAAACACACCAUAAUCAUUUAUAUAUAAUGAAUUAGUACAAUAUUUUACACUUUAUAGAAAUUUAUCCUAGAUAAUAAAUAUUAGCUUGCAAGCCUUGCAGACAUCUUAACGACCAUAUAAAUAUUACAGGAUGAAUAUGUAAUCACAAACUUAAGACCAACAGAUUGAUUGAUUGUUUUCAUGAGUGAUGAUAAAUGCGUUGCAAUCCAGUUUCCUCAAUUACAUAUCUAUAUAUAUAUAUAUAUAUAUAUAUAUAUAUAUAAAGUUACUGUUCUGGGCCUAAAUAUGUUGAACUUUCAGAAAUGGGCUGUCACUCAAUCAAGGAGACCUCACCAGCCCACAACACAUAUCCAAAAUGACGUCGUCAGGAUACAACCAAGUGAAACCCUAGGUCAUAAAAGCUCAAGGUUCUAAAAAACGCUAGGCGCUAGUCGGGCGGCGGACUGGCGCCUAGCGCCUAGGUGGCUAUGCGGGAUCUAGGCGGCCUAGACGGAUUUAGGUAAAUUUUUUAUAUAUUUUAUGAAUUAAUUAAAUUUACUAUAUCAAAUGUAAAUAAUUAUUGACGUUAUUUCUUAUAUAAUAACAUACAAAUGUGAAUGUUUUAUGUACAUAUAUAAUAUGUUUGUUUAUGAAAAUAAUUUAUAAAAAAUAUGAAAACCCCACAUAGUGGUGGUGGUUUUCAUUAUUAAAAAUAAAAACCAUCAGCCAUCCACCUCACCUCUUUCACAUCACCCGUCCAUCAGACUAAAAGAUGUUUGAAAUUUCUCUUUGGUAGCAGGCUUCUCGAUGUAUUCACAUGACCUCUUUCAUUAUUAAAUAAUUUAUAUAAUAUAUAUAUAUAUAUAUAUAAUAUAUUGGUAGUUGUCAUAAUUAAAACUGAGUUCAUGGUUUUCAAUUUUCAUAAAUUAAAACCAUCUUGGAUUUGAUAUUUCCAGUUAAACACCACAUAGAAAUGUUUUUUUUCUCUAUCUCUCUCUCCUUCUUCCCUCAUCUUCAUAGACAACUCUUUCUCCCUCAUCUUCACAUGCGACUCCAUCUUCACAGACGACUCUCUCUCUCUCUUCCCUUAUCUUCAUAGACGAGCUGCAGAAAAUCACCAGCAUCACUCUCUCUUCCUUGAGGUGUGAAGGGAAGAGAGAGAGUCAUCAUCUUCAUCUUUUCCGCUUCGCCAAACUCAGAAAAGGCAAGAAUGCAGAUCAGCUGUAUUCUUGAAAAAAACUGAAAUUCCUGGACCGUUCCUCCUCCCUUUCUCACCUCUCGGUGACCACCAUCAGGCAAAGGGAUCCAUCAAACGGUUUGAUUCAAACCCGAACGGGUUUUGGGAUCUGGAGAAAAUGGAUUUUUCAUUUCUGACGACGGAGGCACAUAUCUUGGGUUUGAGCCUGGAUUGAAGAGAGAGAUCUAGGCAGCUGCGACGAUGCGGCCUUGGCUGCCUUUGUGACGACGGAGCCACAACGAUUGUUUCGAUAAUAUCGAAUAUAUUGCGAUAUUAUCGAUAAUAUCGCGAUAUUUUGACGACAAUUAGGGGGAUACGUGGAAAAAUAUCGGUCUAUCUGAAAAACGAUAAUAUCGACUAUAUUUCGCGCUGAUAUUAUCGAUAUUUUAGUCAUUGGGUGCAGGGAGAUGAGCUCAAACUCACGCCAAGACCCAAAUUCAUGCCAUCGGGAAGGCCCAUGAGGUUUAGGGUUUAGGAGCGUGUGAAUAGUAAUAGGUGAAUACUAUAGUAGCGGGCCAUAAAAAUAAUACCCUGAGUUCGGUGUGUUUCAACUGUGCAUUCAAAUUUUUUCCCUCGGCACAGUCGGAAGUCUGUGCUGAUGCCUAAAUCAGCCAUGGCGUUUACCAUUGCUGCAUCAGUACUAGGACAAGUCAUUGGCUUCAGAGCAGAGCGGUACAGCGUCAAGGCUGUGGCUUCCAAAACAUUGCCUCUGACGACUGAAACCUCCGUUGGUUAGGUGAUAUUAUAGAAUAAAACCCCUAGAUAGGAAGAAUUGUAUUAACACUUAAAAAUUGGAUUUUGUCCAUUCAUUUGUUAUAAGAAAAACUAACGAAAAAUCCUGAAAAACUUUAGUUUUUAAUUAAAAUGACAAAAUAAAGGUGUAAGUAAAUAGUACCAGAAGUGACUUUUCAAGAUAAAAAUGUUCUCAACGUUAAAAGUGAANCCAAUUUUGGGCCUGGGCUUCACGAUUCACUUGUUUUAAGUCCCGUGUGGGCUUUGGCUCAACUUUGGACCAUCGAAUUUCAUCACCUUAUUUUUUUUAGGCAUUAUUUGUUAGGUUUAUAUUUUAUUGUCGAAUUUGAACAAAGUCGACUUUACCGUUUUAGAUAUCUUCAGAAGAAACUGCCUCAAGUGGGUUCAAGAUGUGAAGCUCCACCUCAUCGCUAAAAGCCUUAGAGCCACUAUUAAAGCUGAGACGGAUGUCCCGGUUGGCGAAGCUGAGAAAGCUAUUGCCAUUAUCUUCAUACAAAGACAUACAUGGUGCACUACAAACCAAGUACCUCCUUGAAGAAGGUCCAUAAUCUUUUUAAGUUGCUUUGGUGGAUCAUUUCAAUCGCUAAAGAUACAUCUUCUUGCCUGAAGCAAAACACGACUGGCAACAUUUGUGCUUCCAAGACUUUAAGUCCGUGAAUGAAUACAAUUUUGAAGUUUAUUGAAUUCGAUCACUUCUAAAAUCUUGUAACGAGGACUUGACUGAAGAGGAUCUCUUGGAGAAGACUUAUUCGACCUUCUUUGCGAUCAAUAUUGCCCUGCAACAAUGACAUCAGGCUUUGUAGUUCACUAAGUUUUCAGAUUUGAUCUCUGUUUUACUUUUUGCUAAAAAACUGAAUCAACUGUUGAUGAAGAAUCAUCAAGUUGAACCUACUAGCUCGACUGCUUUGCAUGAAGCACAAACUAGCAAGAAACGAAGCUUGAACCACCAUUCUAGGUGUGGUAGGCAUGACCAUAAGCCGCUCCACUAUGGUUAAUAGAGCGAGGCCCAUCCAAUAGAGGAAAUAGAGCCUUAAACUUCAAGAAUAAAGGCAAAGCACCUAACGCCAUGGAUGCAAAUAUGUGAUACUGUUAUGGUUCUUGUGUGUGCCGAGCUCUUCCUAAAGUUGUAGUUGAGUAACAUUCUUGUCUUUAGAAGUUUGAAUUAAACUUUGCUCAAAUGGUGGAACUAGAAGAUACAAAGAUGAAGGUUUUUGACUUUCAAGAGGCAUUUAUUCUUAUGGAAGAAUAGAUUCUUUGAUAUGGGCCCACAUACUGGCCGAAUUUUACCACUUAGGGUCGAAUUCUCUAAGUAGCCGAGUACACACAAACCCGCCCCCCUUUAUGUUUGGAUAAUUUGUUAGUGUUUGUUUUAAAUUUUAAUAUUAAGUUUUAUGGAUUAUUUUCUCGAAUGAUUAAUUUAAUGAAUGGAAUAUACUUUUUGAAUCUAUUUAUACUAGUGAGAAAUUCAAUUAAAUCAUUUUUAGAUAUGACUAGUGGGAAGUUGGUGGUCUGGCAGAAAGUGCAACCACACACACCAUUUUGGGUGAACACACCUAUUUUACUAAAUUCGUGCCGCAGAAUGCACCCUUGACAACCCUCUCAGGUCCAUCUAACAUAUUUGAAUAAUACAGACAUAACCGUAUAAUGUUGUCCAAUUAUACUAUAUUGACCAUUAAUGAGGCAUUUUACUCUCCACGUUCCGGGAGAACGUUGUUGAGUUUUAAAGACAUUUGAGGUAAUAAUUAUCACAUUGAAGCCUCUAUAGAAAACAUAAUUGAAUUUAUGUACGUCAAUUUCUAUGAAUAUGGUCAGAAGCAUAUUCUAGAAAAGAUGGAGCAUCUCCCGAGUGAUUUGUAUAUUACAACCAUCCACUUCAUAGUGAGCCAAUAUGUGGGCGGCCCUACCUCAAAGAUUGCACAUCAAAUUUUUGUUUUGGCAUGAUUGUUUAGGACGCCUUGGACGAGUUGUGAUACGUCGUAUUCUCAAAUCUACUCAAGGGCAUUCCCUAGCACUGUGGUAUUAAAGAUUAAGACUCAUCUCAUUUAUGCUAUUAUGCCUAUGUGCCAUUUCCACCUUUGAAUUUCCCUCUGUCCCUCUCUCUCUCAACAAACCAAACCUGGCUUCCAACGACUCUUUCUCUCUCAAAAUUUGCACUCAUAGCCGCCCCAAUUCUCCAAUUCCUCUGUACUGCUCAUUCAAUACCCCCAAACUUAGGUGUAGUUUGGGAUUGAGGUGAUUAAAAAAAAGUUGGGAUGAAAAAAAGCUAAUAGGGGUUUUGGUGUUUGGUAAACAUUCCAAAACAGCUUUAUUUCAAAGUUUCACGUGAAAAAAAAGCCAAAAAGUGAAAGCUGCAUUUUGCAACUUCAAGAAGCCGCCUAUUAUCCAAAACACGGAGCUACAGUACCAAGUUAAUGAAUUUUUUCAAUUUGCCAAUACUGCCCCCUCCUUUCUCCUUCUCCUGAUUCCUACACUCUGCUCUCUCUCUUUCUCUCUCGCAAAACACGCCCCUGCACCUCUUCCUCCUCCUCCUUUUCCUUUCUCUCCGUCGAUCUCAGCGCCACACCGUCGUCGCCUUCCAAGUACCAGGUACUCAAUUUGCUUUCAAUUUUUACUGUAAUUAAUUAAUUUAAUUUUUAGGUUAGGGUUUGGUUGCUCUCUGAUGAUGAACCCAUUUUUUUUGGGUUUUCUGAAACAGGGUUUUGUGUGGCAACCAACGAACGAGCUUGAUCUCAUUGAUUAGGUAAACAUAACUCUUUCUCUCUCCCUCUCCAUCUCUCUCUCUCUCUCUCUCUCUCUCUCUCUCUCUUCCAUCGUUGUGGGAAUUUCAGUUUUGGUCUUUGAAUUAAUGUUCUAAUUUUGGGGUUUGAAUUAAUUCUCUAAAUUUCAGUUUUGGGGUUUGAAUUAAGGUUAUUAUCAUGAGAUCCAUGAAGCAAUUUCAGUUCUUAGGGUUUGAUUGGCAACGAUGGUGUUGCUCUGUUUGUUAUCAUGAGAUCCAUGAACCCAAAUCUCCUCCUCUUUUUCUGCCCUCUUUUAUUUCUUAUCAUUUUGUCUUACUUUUCUACCCUUGAUUAAGGUAGACGAAGACACAAGUCAGAGCUAUCAAUGCAUUCUCUUUGCUGCCGUCGCGCCGCUUUUUUUUUGGUAUUUUUUCGUUCUGGUUGUGAUUUUUUUUUGGCCAACUUUUUGCUUGAUUUAUUGACGAGAAAUUGGUUAAGUUUGGAUUAUGUUGAUGUGGUUAACAUUUCUUUGUUUGACAAGGGUUUCUAAUUUCUUAGAUAUGUGGGUUUAUAUUAGAAAGAUUUUUCAUUUAAUCUUAACCCAUGUUUAGUCCUUGAUUUUUGAAACAAUGUUCUGCAGUAUUUGAAGUAAUUUUUCAUAUUUGAACUUUAACUAUUGGCCAAUUGUUAGCAUGGGAUGUAACUGUACAAGUAAUCAUCUGCAUGCAUUAAUAAUCUGUUUGUGUGUGUAGUCACUUUUUACAGGAUAGAGCCUUUUAAAAUAGCCUUUCACAGAUAAAAGAGCCUUCUCUGUCUCUUUAUCCAAUUUUAUUGUUGCCAAAGCCCUUCACAGAGAAAAGAUAAUCAGUCAAGCUUAUUUAUGUAAUCAUGUGGAGGCAAUCUAUCUCUUACGAAGAUUGAUGGAAAGAUAUAGAGAAGGGAAAAAGGAUUUACACAUGGUCUUUAUAGAUAUGGAAAAUGCGUAUGAUAGGUUCCCAAAAGACAUUCUCUGGAGGAUUUUAGAGAAGAAAGGAGUACGAGUAGCAUAUAUCCAAGCUAUAAAGGAUAUGUAUGAAGGAGCAAAGACUGUCGUAAGAACUCAUGAAGGACAAACCGAAAGCUUCCCCAUAACUGUAGGAUUACAUCAAGGCUCAUCCUUAAGUCCUUACCUUUUUGCGUUGGUAAUGGAUGAGUUAACAAGACAUAUUCAAGAUGAUAUUUCUUGGUGUAUGCUUUUCGCAGACGAUAUAGUGUUGAUAGAUGAAACUCAGGAAUGGGUAAAUGUGAAGCUUAACCUUUGGAGAGAAGUGUUGGAAUCUAAAGGUCUUCACCUAAGCCGAUCAAAGACAAAAUAUAUGGAGUGCAAGUUCAGUGCAAAUGGAGGCCAAAAUGAGUUAGGGGUAAGGAUCGGAGAUCAAGAAAUACCAAAGAGCGACUGCUUUCGCUACCUAGGAUCUAUCUUGCAAAAAAACGGAGAAUUAGAUGGAGAUCUCAACCAUAGAAUACAAGCUGGAUGGAUGAAGUGAAAGAGUGCAUCCGGCGUGUUGUGUGACCGUCGUAUGCCACUGAAGCUCAAGGGAAAAAUUUAUAGGACGGCAAUAAGGCUGGCGAUGCUGUAUGGCACAGAAUGUUGGACGGUGAAGUAUCAACACGUACAAAAAAUGGGUGUAACGGAGAUGAGGAUGCUUCGUUGGAUGUGUGGGCACACGAGAAAGGAUAAGAUUAGGAAUGAGGAUAUUUUGGAAGAGACUUUAAGAAAAGACUUAGGGUACUUGGAUCUAACAGAGGACAUGACACAUGACCGAGCACAAUGGCGUUCUAAGAUUCAUAUAGCCGACCCCACUCAGUGACUUGAAUUUUUCAAGUCUCCAACCGAGAAGUUUUCCUCACUCGAGAAAUUAAGGGAACACUACCUCAACCUACAUGUUUCACUCACAAAGCUUCAACAUACAAGCUUCAGCAAAAGAAAAAUUCAAAGAACUUAGUGAAGAAGGUUUUGGUGUAUUUAACACAGUACGUUGAAAUGAAGCAAAGCUUAUUUGCUGAUAUCUCCGAUAAGUUACAAAUAUGUACAUAUACAUAAGUCAAAAUAAACAAACAAGAGGGAGCCUUCACAAAGGUUGCUUAGGAUAAGUCUCAGCAGUCAGUAGAGCCCCAGAAAGAGAAGGCACCGGAGGGUGAUCGCUCGGAGCCUCAAUACUGGACAGAACCCUAGAAGGAAGAGGCAUUGGAGGCUGAUCAUUUGGAGCUUCAUUAUGCGGUACAGCCCCAGAAGACGAAGGCAAUAAAUGCCUUUGGAACAAACCCACAAACCUCUGAUGGUCUGAUCAAGUAAAAUCUGACCAUCAGAUUCUUUCACCUGGUCAAGCUUCCUCUUCAUGUUUGUAGCAUAGUAAUGUGCGAGCCUGUGGAAUUGUUUAUUCUCAUGCUUGAGCCCUCUAAUCUCCUGCUUAAGACUCAUCACUUCAGCCGCCAAUGAUUCAACUUGGCGGGUUCGAGCCAAUGAUUCAACCUGCACACUGAACACUAAGAGCCAGAGAAUCCUUAACAGCCAACUCAUCAGACCGUUUGGAAAGAAGUCUGUUAUCUUUGGGAGUGAGAAUGUUCCUGGCCACCACCACAGCGGUCAUAUCAUUCUUCAUCAUGGAAUCCUCAACGAUAAGAGGACCAGUAGGGGAUAAGAAGGAUGGGCGCCAUAUGUUGUCUGGAGAAGGCAUGCCUGCCUCUUCACCAAGGUUUAAGUCAAAACGACGGUCGGAAGGGCCAGACAUUUUCAAAGGUGUUGAAGAGAGAAGAGGUCAGACAAAUCAAGAUCUCAGAAGUGUAAGAAGAGAGCUUCUACUAGUGGAGAUUCAAGUGUGCUUUGGAACUUAAUGCCAGCCUCUAUAAAAAUCUGCACUCGACGGAGCUUCAGAAAUCGAAGAGGCGCCUGCUCAGAAAUCGAAGAGGCGUUUGCUUUCUUAAAAGCUGGGCUGCUCAGAGACCAUGAGGGCCGAUCUUAGAGAUCGAAGAAGCGUUUACUUUCUCAAAAGCUGGGCUGCUCAAAGACCACGAGGGCCGAUCUCAAAAAUCGAAGAAGCGCUUGCUUUCUCAAAAGCUGGGCUGCUCAGAGACCACGAGGGCCGAUCUCAGAAAUCGAAAAGGCACCUGCUUUCUCAGCCUUUUCAGCACCUGUCACAUGCACACUCAGCUUUGCAGAAAUUAUGGGCAAUCUGUCGAAGAUUUCUGGUGAAGUAGAAAGCACAUGAAGCUUACUAUUCAAUCAUCCACUUUCCACACGUAACAUCAGCUCAUGGGUACCACAGAUAACUUUGCCAAAGAUCUUUGACAAAGUUUAGACAAGUGAAGCUUGUAGCUCCCACUACAUCGCUAUGACCAAGAAGGGUAAAAGAAUAGCAAAGAAACAGCACUAACAAAGUUUAGACACAUAAAUUUUAAAGGUUUAGCUACCAUAUUAUUACCCACAAUGGUAAAGGAACAGCACCAUGGCUGGAAAAUUGGUAAGUCUCUGUGUGUCAACCUCUGUGCUCCGUGGCAAGGUAGACUAGCAAAAAUGCCCAACCUUUACUCACAUUCGAGAAAACACUCCCAACAAGAUUACUUGCUCCAAAAUCGAAGAGGCACCGCCCUCCGAAUCUCGAGAGCCAAACUCCCAACAUGAUUACUUUCUCAAAAAUCGAAGAGGCACCGUUCUCCGAAUCUCGAGAGCCAGAUCCCUGAUAGGAUCGCUUGUUCGAAAACUGAAGAGGGAUCGCUUUCUCAACUUCGAGAGCCAGAUCUCCUUGGAUAAAGCUUGUCUGUAAUCUUCACACGCAACAUUAGCUUUCCAGAUACCACAGACCACUUUUUCAAAGUGCUCUAACAGAGUUAAAACACGUGAAGUUGGCAGCUCCCACUACAGUGCUAUGACCAAGAAGGGUAAAGGAAUAGCAUUACUACUUGUUGUUAGGGAGACUCCUAUAUAUGUCGACCUCCAUCCUCAAUGGACAGGCAGACUUGCAAAAAUGCUCAACCCUUCCUCAUAUCUGAUAGGGCACUCCUAACGAAGCUUCUCGAAAUACUCAGCUUUCUUUCCCCCCGAUAAUACCUAUGCAAACAAACUACACUAGAGCAAUAAUAUCUCAUAUCAUCAGGGUUAAAAGCAAGAGUAUCUCAUAUCAUGCUUUUUCCCUAUCUUUUCCUUUGGCCUUGUUCUUACCUGCAAGAUAAGGAAAAAGAUAGCAAUCAGUCAGCACUUGGAAUCAAACGUCCAGUCAAGAACUGACUGCCUGGAACCCCUUACCUGAUUACUUACCUGGCAUUGCUCUCAAGUACUCAUCUUUAACAUCUUAUGCUUCCAGAGAAGAUACCACAUCUGCCUAAGGAACAGAUAGGGAAAGUGAGAAGGAUACAAGGAAGCAUGUGGAGACAAGCGUAACAUAACACGUGCCGAUACUUCCACUACUUUGUCAACAGCAAAAGUAUCCCAUAUCAGCAGGGUCGAACGUACUUUAGAUUUGAUGAACUUGUUUUAACCCUCAAAUUCUUUAGUCGGCCUUAUACUCUGGAGGUAACCAGAAAACCCUCCAGCCUAGUUCAAGAAUAAGCCUGUGAAAAGUUAAUUCUUCAAAAGCAAAAAUAUCUCAUAUCAUCUCUUCUCAUUUUCUUCUCUUUAUCCUUCAUGCUACCUGCAAGAUAAGGAGAAUGAGAACAAUCAGCCAGAACUCGAAAUCAAACUUCUGAUCUGGGACUGAUUGCUUGGAGCUCUGAUUGCUUACCUUGUCUGUCACCUCUUUCAGCAGAUCCCCUAGCUCGGCGACUUGGGGGAACUCCUACUACAUGGUUUGUAUCACGCUUGACCAAUCCUGAAACUACAAGUAAGAUUCAAGUAAAAUUGAUACAUUCCCUUGUGCAUCUCUACCAAUUAAAGAUAUCAUCCCUGGACGGAGGAAUAGUACUUUCAGAGAAGAUGCCACAUCUACCUAUGAGACAGAUAAGGCAAGUGAAGACGAUACCACAAUUCGGUACUUAGAAGUUUCGUGAUUACUCAGCGGCUUGGAUCUUGCAAGUCCCCAACCGAGGAGCUUCCCCUCCAACCAGGAGGCCAAUCAUAGAGCGACACGUGUCGACAUCAGAAGCCAAUCAUAGCGCGACACGUGUCAACAUCGAAAGCCAAUCACAACACGACACGUGUCAAUGUCAGAACAAGGUUAGAAACUCUCUUCUAUAAAAUGAGAUCAUUCAAAAUAUUUCCUAAUGCCAUUUGUAUUAAAUCAUUUACUUGUACCCACUAAAGGAGAGCUUGAACCUAUGUACUUGUGUAAACCCUUCACAAUUAAUGAGAACUCCUCUACUCCGUGGACGUAGCCAAUCUGGGUGAACCACGUACAUCUUGUGUUUGCUCUCCUGUCUCUAUCCUUUUACAUACUUAUCCACACUAAUGACCGGAGCAAUCUAGCGAAUGUCACAAACUUAAUACUUUCUAUUGUACCGAAGUCCUUACUGAUUUUAUGCAUCAACAAUCCUUAAGUCCUUACCUUUUUGCAUUGAUAAUGGAUGAGUUAACAGGACAUAUUCAAGAUGUUAUUACUUGGUGUAUGCUUUUCGCAGACGAUAUAAGGUUGAUAAAUGAAACUCAGGAAGGGGUAAAUGCGAAGCUUAACCUUUGGAGAGAAGUGUUAGAAUUUGAAGGUCUUCGCCUAAGCCGAUCAAAGACAGAAUAUAUGGAAUACAAGCGGGAUGGAUGAAGUGGAAAAGUGCAUCCAGCGUGUUGUGUGACCGUCGUAUGCCACUGAAGCUCAAGGGAAAAUUUUUAUAGGACGACAAUAAGGUCGGUGAUGCUGUAUAGCAUAGAAUGUUGGGUGGUGAAGCAUCAACACGUACACAAAAUGGGUGUAGUGGAGAUGAGGAUGCUUCGUUGGAGGUGUGGGCUCACGAGAAAGGAUAAGAUUAGGAAUGAGUGGGUUGGACAUGUGCAAAGAAGGCCUACUAACGCUCUAGUUCGAAGAUGUGACUACGGGACAGAGGUUCAGGGCCGAAAUGGUAGAGGAAGACCUAGGAAAACUUUCGAAGAGACCCUAAGAAAAGACUUAGAGUACUUGGAUCUAACAGAGGACAUGACACAAAAUCGAGCGCAAUGGCGUUCUAGGAUUCAUAUAGCUGACCCCAUUUACUGGGAAAAGGCUUUGUUGUUGUUGUUGAUGAUGGGUUAUCAACUUAUCAUAAGAAGCACAUAUAUACACGCAGAGUUGCAGACACGUAGAUUAGAGAACUAAGGGCAACAGUUAUAAGCAUCAAAUAUACCAGGAACUUUUGAUUUAGUUUUAAGAGCAUCUACAAUGGGCUCCCUAAAUGAGCUCCUAGUUAAAAUUUAGGGAGGAUUUGGAAAAAUUCACCCCGUCACUCCCUAUCCACCUCCUAAAAUAAGGAUUCUACAACGAGCUCCUAAAUCUAGGGAGGUAGAAAAGAGCUCCUAAGGCUCCUAGCAUUUUGAUUGUUGAUGCGAAAUAUAUAAGCACACAAAUUAAACCCUCUUUUUAUCAAUUGUAGUAAAGAAUGUAAGUAGGGAUCGUUCUAGGCCGGGGAUUAGGAGGGAUUGCUAAAUCACUUGAAAACUGACUCAAAAACGUAAAAACAAAGGUUAAAACACUAAACUAGACUCAAAGAAUGCAAAACUAAACUCUAAAACACUAAAACAAACCAAAAAAACUCAAAACAGCACAUAAACACUCAAAAUUGCCUUAAAAACACAAUCUGGGCAGUUUUGAACACCAACACAAAUUUGGACGAAAAUAGGUUAUAACUUGACUCAAGACACUUAAAAACACAAACUAAAUUGAUUUCUAACUAAUCUAACACUUCAAAAUAAAGGGGAAUUUGGUUUUAACGAAAUUGAAAACAAACAAAAACUUUGUAAACUAAAACAGAUUUCAAAACAAAGUUGAUUAAAGUGAAUGGAUUGAAAGCUAGCUAAGGGGUUCUUCUCCACACAUGUCACACUUGCAUACAAAAUGAUUUCCAACUGUUUUUCAAUAGAUUAUGAAUUCUCAAUGCCCCAGAUUAACCGUGAAUUGCACUAAUUAACCCUCAGAUUUUCCUAAAGUUAGUGAAUUGGAUGAUUGCAUACGACAACCCAAAGCAUUCCCCACAAGUUCCCUACAUGAAUUGCAUAAUAGAGAUACAAGAAAGAAUCAUUAAGUUCUAUGAAAACCAUAAGCAUUGACGAGGCACUUGUUACUAUGAAUUGCAUGAAACUUAUGCCAAGAAUUUACUUAACAUGAUUGUGAUCAACAACCUUUACUACUUGCGAAUAUAAGUUCAUAACGAUUAGGUGAAACUCCCUUAUAUCCUAGCAUUAGAUUUAUGCAUGAAAAUUAAGCGUGCACUCUCAACCAACACACACAAAUCAGUUUUAAUUCAUAUUGAUAAGCAAAUUGGAUUUACAACUCAUGAAACACAAUUAGAAGUAAUCAAAUCAUAUAGCAAGCAUAAAACAUGGUUUCGAACCCCCCCUAGCCAAGGGGGGUUUAAGUUCUCAUACUCACAAAACAAAGAUAAACAAAGUUAGACAUUGAGAACAAAAGAAAGAAAACACCUAGACGCUCCAACGAUCCAAUCUUGAAUAGCAAGCACACCUAUGGACUGUCCUCCUUCCUCUUUGCUACAGCACAAGACUUAGGGACAGAUUCUUGGGGUUAUGAAUGGUGUAGAAUGGAUGGGGGAUAAUAUGGUAGUGUUUAGGAUGGAUAUGUGGUGCGGGAAAGGGCGGUUUUGGUCAGGAAUUAUGGAAGAAUGGUGAUGAAAGCUGGGGCAGAGAGUGGCUUUAUGUUUCUGGCGUGAAUGAUGUGUAUGAGACGUGGUAGUGUGCGGCAUAAACUGAAAAUACAUAUUUAUAGGCACCUAAACCCUAGGGCAAUCAGAUUAAGGCUUCUAGAACCCAAAUCCACCAGGAAAAAGGCUUAGAAAUCAGAAUUAAAAGGGGAAAAGGCCUACAAGGUGCGGCUGGAUGAUAAAGCUUCUAGAAAGCCUUGCAAGGCAAGGAAAAAGGGUUCUAGAAUGUCUUGUCAUGCAAGGAAAAGGGUUCCCUUGCUGUAAUAGGUGCGGCAUUCCUCUAGAAUAAGGCUACGGUGUCCUAAAGUGUUUAGGACUCCUCUUUGUAGCUGAAACCCUUGCACAUUAGGAAUAGGAAAGCUUGUCUUGAUCGAUCCUUCUUCCUUUUGGACUCCUUUUCCUUCUUUGACUUGGAAUACUUCUUUGUUGCUGAAACUCAAGGCCAAUUAGGUUUAACUUUCCUACUCCAAGUAGGAAACCUUGUUUGAGUAGGAAUCCUCAUUCUUCUAGGAAUCCAUCUUUGACUAGGAUUCCUCCGUUGAUUAGGAAUCCUUCUUCAAUUAGGACUCCCUUCGUUGAUUAGGAAUCCUUCUUCAAUUAGGACUCCUUCAUUCUCGUCAAUUCCUUUCGUUCCAAGCACGUGAUUUCCAUUCCAAGCUCAACCUUGCUCCUAAAGGCUCCAAAAUGCAUCGUUUUGCAUACUUUGCCCUUAAAACCUGAACACAUGAAACUAGCUUAAAAGACUAAUUUAACUAAGAAAACACAACGUAAAUGCAAAAUAACAAGCUCACUAAGUCGCAUAAAUAUGCUCCUAUCAGUUCUUCUGUGUUGAUUGUUUGAUUGUUUUGUGAAUUGCUGUUUUUUGUAGUUGUAUGUGGAUCGUUUAUUAGUUAUUUCUUUGAAUUGUUGUUGAUUGUUUGAAUUGGUUUUGAUUGUUCUGUGAAUUGUUGUUGAUUGUUUGAUUGUUUUGUAAAUUGCUGUUGGAUUUUGUAGUUGUAUGCUGAAAGUGAUCGUCAUUUUGUUGACCCCAAGGACUUUUGUGAAGAGAGAGAUAGUAGUGAUGAUGAUGAUGAAGAAUACCAAAAUUAUUAAGUUGAAGGAUCACAUGAGAUAGAGGCAUUAAGAAAUAGAGUAGCGGCAAGUUUGAUGAAUGCAUCUAAUUAGACUACCUUCAAGUACAUUAACAAUAUUGUACUAAUGAAUCCUAGCUAUUCAAUCUAAAAUAUUUUAAUUGAAGUAGUUUGUCAUACUAAUUAAUAUUUAAGAUAAAGUUUAUAAAUAUUUUUCUUUUAAAAAUAAAGUAUAUUUAGUAAUUCACCUUUAUUUGUUAAGAAAAUUAAAUUAAUAGCACAUCUAGUAUUAUAUCCUUUUUGGUCAUUUUACAUAGUCACAGUUGUUUUACAUAAAAGUUUACAAACACUAUCAUACUCCUUUUUUUUCCAAAAUCAUUUUUACAAAAAAAUUUACCAAACACUCUGCUGCUUUAUUUCACAGCACAACAAAAACAGUUUUUUUUCAAAGUACAGCAAUACCAAACCAACCCUUAAUAUCAUCCAUCCGGCCCCAAUUCGUCUACAUACAUGAUUCAACCUAUAGUCCACCUUAAUUUUCCUCUAGCAACUUGCAAAUUACAAAAGGUAAGAAACAAUGAUCCCUAUUUUGCAUUUUUCUACAUUAUGGCCUCUGUGAUAGGAAGUAAUGUUCAAACCCUCAUGCAUGUGUAUGGUCUGUGUAGGAAACUCGACCAAAAGCGAUGGUGAAAAUAAACGACUGGGUUCUACAUCAGCUAGUAGAUUCGGCGGUCAAAAUGAAGGCAGAAACCUCGAAAUCCUCAAAUCCAAUGCUGGAAAGGUACAAAGACCAUCCCUUUGCUGAAUUAGGCAGUUAUUUGGUCAAAUUAAUAUGUUUUUGGUGUCUCUGGCAUUCUCAUUUAUGUGUCUGAUCAUGCAUCCACUUUUAUAUUCAAGUGUGCUAAGCAUGCUCAUUUUUUGCUUUCCUGCGUGCUUGCAUGUACCCUAUGGUGAACGAUGAGUAAAAUUUCGGAAAACCCUUAUGUACCUGUGUGGAUCUCCAAAUAGAAAUUGUUGUAUUUUAAGAUCUCCAAUGGUCUGUAAAUUUUUUUGAUGUGUGUUUAGGCCCAAAUUAAUGGGUUUGGGCCGAGUUAGUUCUUCGGCUGGCCCAUGAUGGAUUAUUGGCCCUUGGUGGAAUCCUUGGCCCAUGGGAAGAUCUAGAUUCGUUAUGGAAUCUCGACGAAGUUCGUGGUGGAUUGGCUGAGUCCGAUAUAGUCAAGGAUUCUAGUUCUUAUAGAUAAGGGAUCAAACUUGUUGGAAUUCCUUGGUAGAUCGUAUCAAGGGUCAGGAGUUCGCAUGAAAUCAGUGUUCCAGAGUGAGAAGAAGUGCUCAAAGUCCAAUCCUGGUAUGAAGAGUGUCACCAUUGAGUUCUAGUCCUCGUAGGCUUCUACUUGGUUAUUACAAUAAAUAAGAGAGGAUGUACAACAUUCAAUGCCUCUCCAAACACACAAACAAAUCUGCCAUGUGCAAACCCUCACUCUACGCGAAAUCUCCCUUGAGAAAACACUAACCAUCCAAACCUCGUCGAGCACACCUUCGGUAAGUCUUAACAACACUAUGUUUGACAAUCGGCAACACCUUCAGUUAGUCUUAAUAACAAUGGAAUUGUAGAGUCAGGCGAUCGAUGAGCACCUGUCAGUCAGUCUUAACAGCACUGCUUCAAUUUCAGCUGGUUAUUAUCCAAGUCUCAGCUAGUAAGGAGUCUUUGAGUCCUUAUUGAAAGAGGUCACCUCAUUAGCAUUCUCGGUGAAGUGAGGUGUUAAUGGGGCUAAGCACAUUGAAAGCUGAGUUUAUUUUAUGAUUGGAUACUUGCAAGUGCAUUCUAGAGUUCGGCAUUCGGAUGACUGAACCACAUAUACAAUCCAGACGCAUAUCUCUUUCAAGUAUUUGUAUAUGUACAAUCUGGUACCGGUUCGGCGUACUUAUAUUUGCACAAAUAUAAUUACUAAGGCCGAACCCGGUGCUGACAAUUUGUGAACUUCUAAGAAAUUAGCAAUCUUGUCUUCAGGCUCUAGAGCGCAGAAGGCUAAGACAAGCCCCUUCCUCGAAUGCAAUCGUAAGACGUAGAAGCUAGCAUCACAUUUAACAUCACCACCACAUUCAUUUAUUCACCAACCGAGCUCGGUCAUCAAGUUGGCACGCCCCACAUUUAGCUCAUUAGUUACUUGGCCUACGAGCCACGUAGGCUUGGUACUUUUUUAGGAUCAAUAGAGAGUAAGUGAAAGGGGAUUCAAGCAGGGCUGAUCGAAUGCAACGCUGUGAUGUAUGUUGAUGUGAAUGCAAUGAGGAUGAAUGCAUGAAUUGAGGCGAAUGAAUGUUUGCGUACGUAGUGGAUUUUUAGGGCUGAUUGAUUUUGAAUUCAGCCUGCAAAUACCACACAUCAAAAAUCUAAUUGGACGGUAUAAAAAAAUGAACAAAAGUUGCUUCUUUUUUUUGUGAUAGAUGUUUGAUAGGAUUUUUAGUACUUACAUAAAGAAGGUUAAAAUCACACAAAAUAUUUGCAAGAAUACAAAGCAGUUGUAGUAUAUAUACUCAUGCAAGACAUUUCCCCAUAAGAGCUAUUUAAAUCAUUUAUGUAAAAUCAAUUCGUAAUUAAUUACUCGAAAAUUGAGAAAGGUGAUUUGGAAUUUGGGUAAUAUUAAAAACAAAUUUUAAUUAAAAACCAAAUAAUAAAUUCGGCCAAAAUUAAAAAGGUGAAAGAAAAGAGUUUUUAAAAAUAAUUCAUAAAAGCACUAGGGUUCCGCCAUCACCUUAGCAAUCCUAUGUAUUUUACCAAUUACUUAUGAUUUACACAUACAAUUUUGGAAGUUAGGUUUUCCUAAUAUGUCCUACUUGGAACCGUCAACAUAUAACGUAUAUCUAACAUGCAAUCCGUUCGAAAGUUCGGAUCAAAUAUGAACAUGAGAGACUCAUUAUGUUUUGUGAAAACCUUUUGAAAAACUAUGCAACCCUUAAGACGUGGUGUUUAUCGUAAGUGAAAUUACAAUUAUUAACCAUAAGAAGCCAACGUCAAUUUCAAAGAACCUUUCGACCAAAAUUGCAUCAAAUUAUUUUUCUAAAGAUCCUAAUGGUGAUCAAGUAUUAAGACAAUUAGAUAGUUAAAACCUAGUGAUUAAUAAUUCAAUACAUACAUGCAAUCAAUCAUAAGCAAUUAAAUAAAAAAGUACACAUUCAUGCUAAAGCCUCGCCCUUAGCGAAAUGGAUUAGUUAUGCAUGUUCAUAAUUAAAAUCAAAGAAAAUAUUAUUAUGAAGAACAAGAUUGAAAGCACCUUAAAGCAAAAGUCUGAAAUUCUCCAAGAACCCUAGCCAAUUUCUAUCUCCAAAGUCGUGUAAAAGAAGAAGCACAGAAAAACUAGAGCUGGCCAAAGCCUUCUAUCGCACUCCUAAGCUUUUGCAUAAUCCCCUACAUAAGUCUUUUUAUCCAACUAGGAAACCAAAUAAUAAUAAAAUAUAAUAGAGAAUAAAAUCCUAAUUAAGCUAAGAGAAUCUACAAAGAAACUGUCCAGCCAUGUUUUAGCUCUAAAUCUUCUCUAAAUCCCACCCUUGAUAGCUUGUUCUAGAGAUGGGAACAUUCUAAACACAUCUCCAGAAGGAGCCGAAUCCAAAAUAGGCCAUCUUGGACUUCAAAACUCGCACUCAAGCCCAAACUGUCACUUUUCUAGCACCCUGCACUGCUCCUUUAUUCUAUUGCUCGAAAUUAACUGUUUGGUGGAAAAAUAUGAUAUUUUGAUACGAACAAGCUAAGCGACUCACGAACGUCCUCUAAUUAGAAUUAACCGUUUGGUGGAAAAAUAUGAUAUUUUGAUAUGAACAAGCUAAGCGACUCAUGAACGUCCUCUAAUUAGAUUUACUCCAAAAUUUAUUCAUUUGAUCACGUUUUGCCCCAUAGGAAGUCAAAAGUUCUAUUGAAUAUACAGUUCAAAGUAUCAAAAUUCUUCCAAAAUAAUAACCAAAAUAAACUAAGAUUAGGGUAAAAUAUGUAAUAUAAAAUCUACUCAUCAAAAUUCUUGUAUUGUGAUUAAGUAAAUCCUAGAUAUUAGUUUUUAGUUAUUCUUUCCUUAUAGGAUUGUAUUUAGUUGGAGGACAAGUUAACUUGUCCUCAUUCUCUAAUGUAACUAAAUGCGCUGUUUAGGGGAAAUAAAAACACACAAGAAUCCCUACAAUUUCUCUAUUUUCUCUUUCUCGCUGCACCCCUCUUCUCCCUUUCAGCUAAACUAGACCACAAUAUUUGUGUGUGUGUGUGUGUGUGUGUGUGUGUUUUUUUAUUUUUUUAUUUUUUUUGGUUGUAAUUUUGUGAUACAGAAUGAAAGAAAAAGAAAAUAAAAUAAAAUAAAAAGAACUAGGGUUAGAAAAAUUGGGUUGCCUCGUAAUCAAUGCUUUAGUUAACGUCUAUAGCUAGACGAAGUGCAAGGCAGGUGUUCAAGUCACUAGCUCCCUUAGAGUCAACCACUCCUUAGCAACAUCAUAGGACGACAGUAGGUAUGUAUGUGAGUUGAUGUUUAUUAACUUUGCAUUCCAAUUCAGUAGUUAAAUCCUUUAUAUCCACCCUUCUAUGUGAAUGAACCUCUGUAAUCAAAUAGUGUCACUUCCAGCAAGGCUUAUAUCUCUCUCGAACUGACUUCAACCUUGUAUUUAGCACCCACAACUUCUGCCCUGGCUGAAUUUCUCUACAAAGAAUUUGGUUUGUCAAUAAGCUUUUUCUGUUUUCCCCUUAUAAAUGUUAGCCUUCUCGCAGGACUCACUCAGAAUUUCUUCAAGUUUGAUAGGCAGUGCUGGUGCACUGUCUGUUAGAGCAGCUAAAACAUUUUUCUCAGUAGCCUUCCUUGUAUCCGAAGUGGUCAUAGUGCUCAGGAGCGGAGCAUGUGGUGUAUAAGACUCUUCAUUCCAACACGUCAGUUUUAAUGCAUUUCUGCAACUUAGUGUGUUGCUUUGCAACCUCUAGAUUGGGAAUGUAUGGCAUUUAGACUUGGGUGGAGCAGAUUCUGGGAAACUUUCAGGAUUAACCUGUGCUAAUUCUCCUAUUGGUCAUGAGUUACUGGCUAAUGGCUCUUCCGUUUCUGUUUACUUAAGCGUGUCAUCAUGGCUCAUCUCAUAACAUAAUGUACGAGUUGCACAACACUCCUCUGAACCUCGUGGGUUAUCUACAGGCUGACUUGGAAAAUCGGCUCUCUCACUUUCUGUCAAUUGAAAAUUGAGCUGCUCAACUUGCUACUCCAGAAUUUUGGUGACGCCAUCGUAUCCUACAUCACAUGGUUUCGGCUUUCAAUAGAUUCAACCAAUUUUUCAAGUGCAAUCUCUGAAGAUAUGCUUUGGCUGGCACAUUGGGUUACUCAAAAGGCUGCUGAAAACCUACCCACAUAGAAUUAGGAUGCUCCCAUAUUUUAAAAUUUUGAAUAAGGAUCGUACAUAGGAAUGGGCAAAUAUUCAUUGGUUAUGAGUAAUCGCGAUUACCCGUCUAUUUAAAUUAAACGGUUAUGGUUAUGGGUAUAAAUAAACGGUUAUGGGUAUAACCGUUUACCCGUAAAAUUUAAAUGGGCGGUUAUGGGUAUUAACCAUGGUUAUAAACAGGUAACCGUUUACCUAUUUAUUUUAUAUAUGUAAAACUAACACAAACCAUGUUCUCGAUCCAAUAAUAAUACUUAGCACCCAAUAAAUUAGCAAGGAAUUUAUCGGUCAUUCUCUCAAUAACACUACUACAUUCUCAUCAUUAAGGAAUUGGUCAAAUUAAUUUAAAUUUCUUGCGGGUAACCAUGAAAUUGAAAGAAAUGCUUUGACAGAAAUGUCUUCUAAACAAUUUUUGUAACUAUAUAAUACUUAGCAAAUAUUAUAUUUACCUUCAUUGGUAAUAGUUAAAAAUAUCAUCCGUAAACUAUUAUUUCAAUUAUUGGAAUGAUAUAAAGACUUAAAAAAUUAAAAUAUGGAAAUGUAUGAUGAAUGUACCUAUAACUGACACCCCCGUCCCGAAGGAGGGCAUGCUGGCCGUCACGUGAGAGUGACGUAACCAUUUACACAGUACGGAAGCUUUAAAAUACAAUUUAUAAGUUGAUACACCCGAAGGUGAGUCCUAAUUUUGUCCAAUCUGUCAGAACACCGUCAAAUUCCUCGUAGUCACCACACCUUUGUGAUUCCUGAACCUGGAGGGGCGCAAAACCAAAAUUGAGUGGGUCAGUAAAACAAUUCUUUUCCAAAUCCAAACAUUUCUCAAAACGUUGUAACCCCUCUCCGUAAAACCUGUAUACUUUCCCAGAAAUAUAAAAUAUAAAUAUACAUAUAUAUAUUCUCAAUACUUCAAUUCAUUAACUCAACAUUUUCAUCAUAAUUAUGCCAUGCCACAUCAUCUCAACAUUUCUCAUAUUAAUUAUGCCAUGCCACAUCAUCUCAACAGUAAUAAGGUAUGAAUGCAUCAACAUAAAUCAUAUCAGGUGCAAUAAAGUAAUCAACCGGAGGCCCUUUACUAGCCCGGUUGAACCUAGAGCUCAAAAUCUAUCACUCUCACACUCUGCCGGAGUCACUCCGCGUGACCUGUCCGGCCUUCUGCACAUAAGUUACGCUCUAGUGCUUCUCAUAAAUCAUCUGUGCACAUAAUCUAAGGUCACCCACCAGUCGGAAUCUCACUAACACUCUCGCGACUGGCCUGUCGUACCCACUCCGCGUGGACUGUACGACUAGCAUCUACUUGGAUCCAAGGCGAGCGUGCGAUGCGGUGAAUACUAUAAGCACUAAACUAUGGUGCAGGAUUUGAGCUCAAUAUACAUCAACAUCAUCAUAACAGAAAUAAAUACUCACCUGUGCAUCCACCGCACCAUUUCAUACAUAUGCAUCAUAAAUCAAUUCUUACCUGUGCGUCCACCGCACCAAUUCAUAUAUAUGCAUCAUAAAUCAAUUCUUACCUGUGCGUCCACCGCACCAAUUCAUACAUAUGCAUCAUAUAUUAAUUCAUGCAUGGCAUUUCAACUCACAUUUCUAUAUACUUUUCAUAUCAAUUCUAUGCAUGGUAUUUCACUUCCCGUUUUUCCACAUAACUCAUAUGCAUUUCAUUUUAAACAUAUUUUCAUUUCAAUUCAAUUUCUGGGAAACGUCAAGUAUAUAUAUAUACGGAAAACAAAACUGCCCACUCACCUGGAGUUCGUCCAACAACUCCCUAGCACCACACAUCAAGGCGUCAUGACGAUCGCCGCCUAGAACAGUAAUCAAAUCCAACCUCAGAAUUCAUAUCGAUAGAAUAUAUAACUUAUAUAAAAUACGUCCCUACGUAGAUCGAUCCGGAAGAUCUGCCACUCAGAUUUUAAAUCCAUAACUUCCAGAGGUCCACAAUAUAUCUCUAGGACAACAUCCUAAAAUUUCAUCACCAUCCAACGGUCGGAUCUCCGUCAAUUUCCAAAACUAAGUGACGGUUAACAUUGCCCCCACGCGCAUCAUCUUCUUCCUUGGGUCGCCGGACUGGUUUUUCCGGCGGCCGUUUUUCAAAUUGCCAUAACUUUGUCAUUUCUCAACGAAAUCAAGUGAUUCAAAAACGAAAGUUGUAGCCCUUGAAGAGAAAAAGAGAAUGGUACCUUGCACAACACCUAGUUCGCCGUGGUUUGGCCGGAAACGUCCUCUAAAGCCUCGGAGGUCGCCGGAAACUGGGUAUUUUUCAAAUGAGUAUAACUUCUUCAAUACUCAACGAAAUUGAGUGAAACAAAAAGUAAAGUUGUAGUACUUGACGAGACGAAGAGAUUGAUACCUACCUCAACUCCUAACUCGCCGGGGAUUCGCCGGAAAGAGCCUCGAAAGCUCCGGCCAAACUUUGAACUUGUCGAUCUCCGUGUUCUUACGUCCAAAAACUUCCAACGAAGCACUCCGAGCUUCCUUGGGACUUCCUUAAGCUCACUGUGAGCUUGGUUUCACCUAAAACAAAGCCAAUUCGAAGAUCAUGAACAAUGCUCUUCAUGGGAACUUUGAAACUAGGGGUUUUCCGAAGCAAAACUUACCUAAAAUGGAUACCAACGUGAUCGUGAAGUCCUCAGGAUUCCAAUGGUGGUCUCAAACUUGACGUUGGUAUAGAUUUAGGGUGGUUUUGUGGUGGUCCGUGUGAGUUCGAAGGAGAGGGAGAGAGAAAGUGAGGUCUGAGGAAGAGAGAGAGAGUACAUACGGGAAAUGGGGAGGGAAUCAGGGUAGGAGGCCCUACUUAAAUCCCAAACACAACUUUAAACAUACUAAUGUAAAUCCAAUUGUUAAAUUUUCGCCCCUUAGUCCCGCUUAAGGGCAUUUUGGUCUUUUCACGUCCUCGGAAUUAAAAUUCCGGGACGGGCUGUGACAAUAACGGUGUUUAAUUGUCAAAAAAAAAAUUAUGAUAAUUUUUUUUUUAAUUUUCAAGUUGUUAAAAAACAUAUAGACAUAUGAAAAAAAGGGUAAUGGUAAAAAAAAAAAAGAUAAACGGGUUAAAAAGGAUAAAUGGGCAAACGGGUAUUAAACAGUUACGGUUAAAUGGGUAUGUGGUUAUGGGUAUAGUUAACCGUUUAUAAACGGUUAUGGAUAUGGGUAUAACGGUUUAGGCAAUUAUCCAACGGGUAAACGGUUAUGCGGGUAUAAGCAUAAAUGGUUAUGGAUAAAUUAACCGCAGUUACCCAUUCGCCAUAACUAUUGCCCAUCCUUCAUCGAACAUAGGCCUUUGAGAGUUGUCCUUCAUAUUAAUAUAAUUUUGCACAUACUCUGGAAAAUAUUCCUUCUGGGGAUAAUGCAAAAUAUUGUGGGUAUUCAAACUGCAAAGAACGAACUGUAGGUGUUCAUUAUGAAAAUCCAAAAAAUCCUUUUCAGCUAAUGACUCUCAAGGGUCGGGCAGCUUCAGGUAUAACGAAGGCCAUUCUAUCGUCGCUGUCCACACAAGUAGAGCCCAAAUUUCACCAUUCUGCAAGGAAAACGAAAAUAAAAUAAAAUAAAAUAAAUAAAGUUUAUAUACCCAAAUAAUCAACUAAUAAUAUAAUAAACACAAAUUAUUUAAAACAAUUCAAGGCAACGGCGUUAAUUUCUUGAUAGGAGUUUUACCACAUGCAAAAGUUGGAAUAAAACACUCAAAAAUAUUUGCAAUGAGAACAAAGUAAUGUAGUAUAAACGGAUCAAGCAAAGUCGUUAUCCAUAGAGAUGAAUGAAUAAUUUGUCUUUAAAACGAAUUCUUAAUUAAUUAUUUAAUACAAAGUUUAGAAAGAGGUUUGAAAUUGUGAAUUAAAAUAACACAACAAUGAAAUAAAAUCAAUAAAAGAUAUCGGCAAAAAUAGUAAAAAGAGUAAAAGACGCGAUUUUGGAAGAUUAAAUUUAAAAGACACUAGGGUUCUGCAAUCACCUUAAUAAUCAUAUGUAGUUUUCUAAUUACUUAUGCAUUACACAUGCAACUUUGAAAGUAAGGUUUCUGUGAACACGGAAAAUUUCCUGAAACGAAAGAGACAAGAACAACGUGCACAAAAUAAUAUUUGUGUUUGAUUAUUUUGGGUUACAAUCUCUCUCUAAUUUGAUCCUCUGAUUCGAUCUCCGUAAGGUGUUGAUUUGUGGAUGUUUCGUUGAUCCAAGGGCCGUCGAGACUUGAUCUUGGAUGAACUGUUGGAAGUUUUUUCAAGGGGCCGUGGGCUUGAUCUUUGAAGGUGGAUUGAGCGGAUCUUCAAGGAGCCGUUGGGGCUUGAUCUUGAGGAUGAGUGUUUCUUCAAGGGCCGUUGAGGCUUGAUCUUGAAUAAUGGUGAUGAACGGAUCUUCAAGGGCUUUUGGGCUUGAUCUUGAAGAACUGUGAUGAACGGAUCUUCAAGGGCUUUUGGGCUUGAUCUUGAAGAACGGUUGGAUGUGUGGAUUUGUUGAUGUUGUUGAUCCAAAGGGCCGUUGGGGCUUGAUCUUGGAUGAACGGAUGAUGAACGAUGGUGCUUUCUUCAAGGGCCGUCGGGGCUUGAUCUUGAAUUGGUGGAAGUUCUUCAAGGGCCUUUGGGGCUUGAUCUUGAAUUGGUGGAUGGUUGAUCCAAGGGCCGUCGGGGCUUGAUCUUGGAAGAACGAUGAACGAGGAACGAAGAACACUUUCUUCAAGGGUCGUCGGGGCUUGAUCUUGAAUUGGUGGAUGAUUGUUGAUCCAAAGGGCCGUUGGGGCUUGAUCUUGGAAGAACGAUGAAUGAAGAACGAAGAACGAAGAGAGCCUUCUUGAUUCUUCGGGAACCUUGAGAGCUUUAGAGUUUCGAAGCUUCAAAGAUUUGGGGGAUUCUCUUCCAAUUUGGGAGUAGAGAAAUGUAUUUGUGAAUUCCUUGAUUGAUUCUUUGAUGGAGGAGCCUAUUUAUAGGCUUUGGGAACGAAUCACCAUCAUCCAUUUGUUUUGGUGGAUGUUGUAGGUGAAUUUUGGUGGAUGUUUGUAAGUGAAACUUGGUGAAUGUUGUAGGUGAACUUAGUGUAUGAUGUAGGUGAAGUGAAUGAAGGUUGUAAUUUUAAUACAAUGGUCAACAUUUAUUUCACCAAAAUUUCAAUGUUUACAAAUGUAAUCUUAAUGCAAUGGCUAACAUUUAUGCCACCGAAAUUUCAAUGUCUACAAAUGCCCCCACUUCAAGGCGCGUUGUAUACAUGUGCUUGCUACAUGUAGGAGAUGCGUUUUGAAGUCCCUUAAUGUAGUUGUCAAUCCAAGGGUCAUCGAGGCUUGAUCUUGAAUUGGGCUGGAUAUUUCUUCAAGGGCCGUUGAGGCUUGUUCUUGGACUUUGUUUGAAAUUUCUUCAAGGGCCGUCGAGGCUUGAUCUUGAAGGUUGAAAUUGGACCACAAGGAGCUUUAUGUGGUAGAUGAUCUUUGGCUUUGGUAGUGGAUGAAUCGGCACGUAUUUGUUUUUGCGCUUUGUUGACUUUCCACAGCUUUGAUCUUGAACUGGGUUGGAGGAUUUUUUGGAUUCCUCCAAUUGUUGAUUUUCCACAGCUUAAUCUUGAACUGGAUUUGAUUCAAAUAUGGUGGACGCUUGAUCUUGAAUCGGACUUGUGAUUUCCUCAAGGGCCGUCGAGGCUUGAUCUUGAAUUUGGCCGGAAACUUCUUCAAGGGCCGUUGAUGCUUGAUUCUUGAAGGUUGACUCGAACACAUGGCAAGCAGGCACGAGGUGAAGGUGACGACUUGUUGAUUUGUUCAAUCUUUCUAAUUCACACCUGAGCAGUUUGGUCAACGGUAUGAUUUUCAAGAUUGAUGGGCUCUUCUUCCAGUUUGUGACUUGAUCUUUAAAGACUUGAUUCAAGGGUGGUGAAACGGCACAUGCAGCCCACAACGCCUAGCAAGUCGACCCAAGAAUUUGAGGGUCAAAACGAGUCCUCUACCCAGAGUGAUUGUAAACCUGAUGAUAUAAGAUACUUUUGAUUUUGAAGAAGUAGCGGAUGAAUUGACACGUGCUUUGUUGUGCUUGUCUCCACAUGCUUCAAUGUAUCAUUUUCCCUUGUCUUAUCUAUUCUUGUGGUAGAAUGUAGCAUCUUCUCGAGUUCUUCAGCUCAGACUCCUUCUGUUGAGCUGACUGUGCAGGCUGCAUUCUUUUCUGCUUGUUUCUUCAGGCAGAUGUGGCAACUUCUUGAGUUCCUUAGCUCGGACUCCUUCUGCUGAGCUGAUUGUGAAGACUGCAUUCUUCUCUGCUUGUUUCUUCUGCACGUUGUCUCCACAUGCUGCAAGGUAUCAUUUUCACUUGCCUUAUCUGUUCUCCAGAAAAAUGUGGCAUCCGAGUUUGAGUGGAGGUUCCGGCAUAUUGUUUUCUUUAUCCUUGUCUUUGUAGGUAAGAACAAGGAAAAAGGAAAGGACAGGGAGAACGCAUGAUAUGAGAUACUCUUGCUUUCUACCCUGGUGAUAUGAGAUACUUUUGCUUUGGUGUCAUUUGUUUGCAGAGGUACCCCAAGGAAUAAGAAACACUGAGUGACUCGAGAGGCUUCGUUGGGAAGGCAUUCUCGGAGAUGAAGAAAGGUUAUGUAUGUCUGCCUUGCUAUGGAGGGUGAAGGUGGACAAUUAUAGGAAAUUCUUUAGUACCUGUAGAGGUACUAUUCUUUUACUCGUGUCGGCAACCAAUGCGUGAUUGAUCAGUAUAGCUUCACGUGCUUUCUUCUUUAUCAGAAAUCUUCGACAAAUUGUCCGUAAUUUUCGUCAAGCUAAGUGUGCAUGUGACAUGUGUUGACGAGGCUAAAAAAGACUGGCGCCUCUUCGAUAUCUGGGAUCGGCUCUUCGACAAAUUGCCCGUGAUUUCCGCAAAGCUGAGUUUGCGCGUGACGGGUGCUGAUGAGGCUAAAAAAGACUGGCACCUCUUCGAUAUCUGGGAUUGGCGUUUUAACAAAUUGCCCAUGAUUUCCGCAAAGCUGAGUUUGCGGGUGACGGGUGCUAACGCGUCUGGAAAAGCAAGAUGCUUCUCCGAUUUCUAAGCUUGCCUCUUUGAUUUUUUAAUUGGCCUCUUCGAAUUCUGAGCUCGCCUCUUCGAUCUUUGAAAUCCCGUCGAAUGUUGAUCUUUAUAGAGGCACGCAGUUCGUUUCAAAGCACACUUGAAUUUUCGCUUGUAGAAACUCCCUUUUUGCACUUCUAAGAUCUUGAUUUGUUCGACCUCUUCUUUCUUCAACACCUUUGAAAAUGUCUGGACCCUCCGACCGUCGUUUUGAUUUGAACCUGGGUGAAGAGGUAGUCCCAUCUUCUCCAGAUAACAUAUGGCGCCCAUCCUUCAUAUCCCCUACUGGUCCUCUUACCGUUGGGGAUUCAGUGGUGAAUAAUGAUAUGACCGCUGCGGUGGUGGCCCGAAACCUUGUCACUCCCAGAGAUAACAGACUACUUUCCAAACGGUCUGAUGAGUUGGCUGUUAAGGAUUCUCUGGCUCUCAGUGUGCAGUGUGCAGGUUCUGUGUUUAAUAUGGCCCAACGCCUAUUUGCUCGAACCCGUCAAGUUGAAUCAUUGGCGGCUGAAGUGAUGAGUCUCAAACAGGAGAUUAGAGGGCUCAAGCAGGAGAAUAAACAGUUGCAUAAGCUCGUACAUAGCUAUGCGACAAACAUGAAGAGGAAGAUUAACCAGAUACAGGAAUCUGAUAGUCAGAUUUUACUUGAUCAUCAGAGGUUUGUGGGUUUGUUCCAGCAGCAUUUGCCUUCGUCUUCUAGGGCUGUACUGCGUAAUGAAGCUCCAAAUGAUCAACCUUUGGCUCAUCUUCUUCCUGGAGUUCCGCCGAGUGGUGUGGCUUCAAACAGUCAACCUCCGGCGCCUCUCAUUUCUGGAGCUCUGCCGAGUGGUGAGGCGGCACCUGAUCGUCCUUGAAGAUCCCCUCAUGUAAAUUUGAUUUGAUUUUUUUUUUUUUAAGUAUGUAUAAUGCAAAUUUAUGUAAAAUUUCCAGAAAAAAUAAAUAAAAACGGACUUUAUUUCUCUCAAUGCAUUUGUUUUGUUUUUUUUUUUUGUAAAUACAUAAUAACAUAUGUAUUUAUUUAUUUAUUCUUUUGUAAUAAAAUUGACUUUCUUUAAUAAAACUUUUAUAUUUUUAUAUUUUAUAUUUUUUUUUUAUUUUGAUAUGACUGAACUCGAAAUUGAAUGUUUGAGCCGCCUACGUACCCUUCCAAAGAAGAGAUCAAGCCAUAACAUAGUUCAAAUGAGUGAUGAAUUUAACAGUAAUUUUGAUGAUGAUUUUGCCGUACACAGUUUAUGCUCUUACGGGCCAGGAGCUUUGGUGUUGCCUUUUAUGCUCGUGCAGACCAGGAGCGUUGAUGUCGCCUUUUAUGCUCAUGCAGGUCAGGAGCGUUGAUGUUGCCUUUUAUGCUCGUGCAGACCAGGAGCUUUGUGCCAUGCAGUUUAGACUCGUGCGGGCAAGGAGCUUUGGUUCGUGCAGUUUAGGCUCGUGCGAACAAGGAGCAUUGGUUCGUGCAGUUUAGGCUCGUGCGAACAAGGAGCAUUGGUGUUGCCUUUUAUGCUUGUGCAGACCAGGAGCUUUGUGCCAUGCAGUUUAGACUCGUGCGAGCAAGGAGAAUUUGUGAAUUUUGUCAAGCAAUUUUGGAGAGGCGUUCCUCACAAUCUUCAUAGCAAGGAGCCUUGACCGAGUGAUUAAAGAAGUCUUUGGGAAAGAAAUCGCGCAUCGUGAUGGGGAUGGACGAUAUAUGUGUCGAAAUUUCAUCAUCUUCAACACGUUCACGUUGCUUUGAAGGUUGACAAGAGCUGCUUUGCCCCCUUUCCGAUUGGCGGACUUGUGGAGGAGACGUAUGCUUUUUGUGCAAUUUCUUAGGAGUGACUUGAGUCCAUCCUUCAACUUUGCUUGUCUUGGAGGAUGCCCUAUGAGGUUGAGGUAAAAAUUUUGAGUCGGAAGAGCCAGAAGUGAUGGUGGUAUAGUUUGACUUCACCACAUCGUCAAGAUCUAGCUCGAUGAUUCCUUUAUGAGCCAGCUUCAUGAUGAGAUCUUUCAACACGAAGCACUUUUCUGUCGGAUGACUGAUGAAGCGGUGGAAUUUACAGUACCUUGGACUGUCGGUGCAAUUUAUCUCUUCUGUCUGUCUGCACUCAGGCAAGCCGAUCACCUUCUUUUCCAGCAAGUCUUCUAACAUGGCAACCACAUCAGAGUCGGGGAAUGGAUAAGUUUUCUCCUCAAGCUCCUUCAAAGUGCGUCUACGCAUCUCUUGAUCACGAAAAGCUUCAGCUUGAAUCGCAUUGCCUCGUGUAGGGAUUUUGACGGGAGAUGUGUUGACUGUCAUUGCUUCUUUGGUGGAUUUCCACAUAGCCUUCUCCACCUUUGUGUCAAGAAUUUUGUCGUUCUUGUAGUCGGCGAUUGGUUCCUUCUUCCCAUGAUGGGUGAUGCUCAACUCCAUGUCAUGGGCCCGAGUGGCCAGCUCUUCGAAGGUCCGUGGUUUAAUGCCUUGAAUGAUGUAUUGCAAACCCCAUUGCAUACCUUGGACGCACAUCUCGAUUGAAGAGGUCUCCGAGAGCCUGUCUUUGCAGUCGAGGCUUAGAGGGCGCCAUCUGUUGAUGUAUUCAAUGACCGGCUCAUCUUUCCUUUGAUUUGUGCUCGUUAGCUCUAGCAUGCUCACAGUGCGGCGAGUGUUGUAGAAGCAGUUGAGGAAUUCCCGUUCCAAUUGCUCCCAGUUGUUGAUUGACUCAACCUCUAGGUCCGUGUACCACUCAAAGGCGUUUCCUUUCAGCGAGCGCACAAACUGUUUGGUGAGGUAGUCUCCCUCCGUCCCCGCGUUGUUGCAAGUUUCGACGAAAUGUGCAACGUGCUGCUUUGGGUUUCCUUUUCCAUCAAACUGCAUGAACUUUGAUGGUUGAUAUCCCAUCGGCAUCUUUAGGGCAUCAAUCUUCUUUAAAUAAGGCUUUGAGUACAACCCGGAGGUAUUUGAGCUCCCUUCGUACUGUGCCUUGACGGUGCUGGCAAUCAUCUCUUGCAACUGCUGGAUAGAAAGAGAUCCCAUGAGUGCCGCUGCUUGGUCUGGCUCCGGCUUCGCAUCGAUUCUCUCCACCGUAGGCUCAUCUUCUGGGUUAGGGUUCUCGCCGUCCUGUGGCUCCAGUCGGCUGACGAGUGCAGCGAUUUGCAAGUCUUUUUCUUCCACAGUUCGGGUUAGCCUUGCUAUCGCUUCAUUCAUUUAAGCCAGUUGUUCUUCGAUGGAGGUAACGCCGAUGGUCAUGACUUGUGCAACCAAUAGACGUGACUUUCCUUUAGACAUCCAGGAUGCUGACGAAGAACGUCGUUGGCUGUUUUGGGAUGUCAUCUUGUGUGCCUCAGCAGCAUGCUUCGGUGCCCCCAGCGAGGUCAAGUUGAUGACAGACUUGCACCUUUGAUGCUCCCCUUGCUCUUUUAGUGGCACCAACUUUGAAGUGGCAUGUUGAGGAGCGGUUGUGGUGCCAAUGGAUUUUCCGUUUGCAGCAGAAGUGCUUAGGAUCCUUCCCUCAGUGGUUGCGAGAACGGCUUGUCCCUUGCUUGAUGCCAUUGAGUUUAAGGUGUGUUUGGAUUCCUUGAACGAAGAAAGAGAUGAGAGGUAGAGAUGGUCCCACUGGGCGUGCCAAUUUGUGAACAUGGAAAAUUUCCUGAAACGAAAGAGACAAGAACAACGUGCACAAAAUAAUAUUUGUAUUUGAUGAUUUUGGGUUACAAUCUCUCUCUAAUUUGAUCCUCUGAUUCGAUCUCCGUAAGGUGUUGAUUUGUGGAUGUUUCAUUGAUCCAAGGGCCGUCGAGGCUUGAUCUUGGAUGAACUGUUGGAAGUUUUUUCAAGAGGCCGUGGGCUUGAUCUUUGAAGGUGGAUUUGAGCGGAUCUUCAAGGAGCCAUUGGGGCUUGAUCUUGAGGAUGAGUGUUUCUUCAAGGGCCGUUGAGGCUUGAUCUUGAAUAAUGGUGAUGAACGGAUCUUCAAGGGCUUUUGGGCUUGAUCUUGAAGAACUGAGAUGAACGGAUCUUCAAGGGCUUUUGGGCUUGAUCUUGAAGAACGGUUGGAUGUGUGGAUUUGUUGAUGUUGUUGAUCCAAAGGGCCGUUGGGGCUUGAUCUUGGAUGAACGGAUGAUGAACGAUGGUGCUUUCUUCAAGGGCCGUCGGGGCUUGAUCUUGAAUUGGUGGAAGUUCUUCAAGGGCCUUUGGGGCUUGAUCUUGAAUUGGUGGAUGGUUGAUCCAAGGGUCGUCGAGGCUUGAUCUUGGAAGAACGAUGAACGAGGAACGAAGAACACUUUCUUCAAGGGCCGUUGGGGCUUGAUCUUGAAUUGGUGGAUGAUUGUUGAUCCAAAUGGCCGUUGGGGCUUGAUCUUGGAAGAACGAUGAACGAAGAACGAAGUACGAAGAGAGCUUUCUUGAUUCUUCGGGAACCUUGAGUUUAGAGUUUCGAAGCUUCAAAGAUUUGGGGGAUUCUCUUCCAAUUUGGGAGUAGAGAAAUGUAUUUGUGAAUUCCUUGAUUGAUUCUUUGAUGGAUGAGCCUAUUUAUAGGCUUUGGGAACGAAUCACCACCAUCCAUUUGUUUUGGUGGAUGUUGUAGGUGAAUUUUGGUGGAUGUUGUAGGUGAAACUUGGUGGAUGUUUGUAGGUGAAACUUGGUGGAUGUUGUAGGUGAACUUAGUGUAUGAUGUAGGUGAAGUGAAUGAAGGUUGUAAUUUUAAUACAAUGGUCAACAUUUAUUUCACCAAAAUUUCAAUGUUUACAAAUAUAAUCUUAAUGCAAUGGCUAACAUUUAUGCCACCGAAAUUUCAAUGUCUACAGUUUCCUUUACGCAUAUUCUACUUGUGGCAUUCAAGCUAAAAUUUAUAUCAAACAUGCAAUCCCUUCAUGCAUUCAGAUCAAAUAUAAGCAUGCAUGACUCAUUACACUUUGUGAAAUCCUUUUGAAAAACCACGCAACCCUUAAGAUGUGACAUCCGCCCAAGGUGAAAUUAUUUAUUAACCACAAGAAGCCAUAGCGAAUUUAUGGGUGGCAUUCCAAUAGAAAUUUCAUCAAAUUACUUAUCUAAAUAUCCUAAUGGUCGCAAAGGUCUAUGACAUAAAGACAGUUUAAACACAAUAAUUAAUAAUUCAAAGUAUGCAUACAUAACAUCAAAAGAAAGUUAAUUAGUUACACAUACUCAUAAAUAAAAUCAAAGAAAAUAUUAUUGAGAAGAAAAUGAUUGAAAACACCUUAUAAAAUAAACUUGAAUCAUUAAAGGCUCUCUAAGCCGAGUUCUUCGAAGUAGUGCUAGCCUAUUGUGAGGUCUUAUGUUUGAUUCUUGCCGAAAGACAAAUUUGAAUCACAUUAUUACUAGCUCAUUGUGAGGUUUAGCCCAAUCCUCCAUUCCCUUAGUAUAAAUAAUAUCGUUUGUUAAUAUAUAUAUAUAUAUAUAUAUAUAUAUAUAUAUAUAUAGCCAUUUGGAUAGUACUAGUAGAUUAUCACCUAAAUAUCAGAUGUCUAAGAAAGACACCGCUACUCCACAAGUGGGAUUAAGUAUGUUGGGUGUCAAGUGGGACCGUUUGUGACCCUACCCAAAAUGUGGUAGAAAUGUUCAUUAAUUAGGGUUUCUAAAAUAAAUCAAAGAUAUGCAAUUAAUAAUGUCGAAAUUAUCAUGUAGAAAUGACUACCAAGAAUGUUGUCCCUUAUUUAACUAAGGAUGAGAAAUUGAUUAUAACAAACUAUGUCGUGUGGCUACUUUAUGGGAUGCUUCAAGCCGUGGUAUGCAGCCAGAUCCUUUCCAUGGUUGGUUAAACGUUCGGCGAGAGAACCACUUCCAAUUGCGGUGUGUUAGGAAUUUUCAUUGCACGAUGAUCAGUUCAGAACGGCAUACCCCAAUAUUAGGUAUUCAUCUUUAAAUUUUGGGUUGCGAGAGGGGCGAGAUUUGACUCGAAGCCCAUUAAUGUUUCCAUCCCAAUCUUCGACAACGGCUAGGAUGUCAUUAUGCCAAUCCCUGUCAUGACAAGGAACAUUCUAGAUAUACGCCCAUCAGGCAAGACUAGAUCUGACCGUAAAGUAGUAGUGGCAGUCAAAAUCCAUCAUGAUGUUGUGCAACAUUGUAAACUCAGGAAUAUCCAACUUAGCCCAAUAUCAUUGGUUUAGCAACUCGAAGCAUGUAAUAAAUCUAAAAGCGAUGGGGGAGAGAGUCUAGAUAGCUAUGUCAUAACACAGCAGAAUGCCCUUCAUGAAGAAGGAAAUAGGAAAACGAAGACUGACGUUGGGUACAUUCUAGUAUAUAGGCAUUGGGAUCAGACGGUGCCGGCAAGUCAGCAUAGAUGCCAUAGAUGCCAUGGUUGGGUUCCUACCAGAUCCAGCUAUCUUCACAAGUAUGAUCCACGUGAUUGUUCACUUGUCGGAAGAGGCAUUGCUUGCGGUCUUGUCAACUAUCGCUGGAUGUAUCAAGUAGAAAGGUAUAUAAUCCUCAUCAUUUUAACUGACGUUUACUAAUUUUUAUCGUAUCAUUUUAUUUUGGCAGGCAUCUCGGGGAAUUGAAAAAAAGUGUAUGCAAUAGGGUGAAGCCUGAAGGAUCAAUUAUAGAGGCUUGGGUUCAAUAUGAGUCACUUACAUUUUGUGGAAUGUAUUUAAAAGAUGUGGAGACGACUUUCAAUCGUCCUUAGCGCAAUAAUGACGGGGGCGUGAGUAAGGAGAAACUUUAUGUUUUUGGCCAAUGCGCACGACCCUUUGGAGAUCCUGUAAGAGGCAAGUCGUAUUCCAAAAAUGACAUGGAGGUAGCGCAUUGGUUCGUACUGAACAAUUAUGAUGAGUCAAUGGUAUAUCUAGAUGAGCAUGAAGAGAUGAUGAAGCGAGAACAUCCAUCGCAUUUGUAUGCCAAGAAACACCGUGAAUUGUUUCCACAGUGGUUUAUCGAACAUGUAAGUUAUAUAUGUUUUGUAGUUGACAUAUAUAUUGUAGUAUUUAAUUCUCUCAAACCAACAUGUGCAUGUUUUUGUAUACUGUUAGGUGUGUUGAUGCACAAAACCGGAUGGUCUUGGUACAACGUAAAUCCGACCGUGAAUCUGCAUAAAAUGUAAAUGACACAAGAGUUAUCGUGGUUCACCCCAAGGUUUGGGCUACGUCCACACUGAUUGUAUUAUAUUUCUCUGUUGAAGAGGAGGAGAGAGCUUAGGGGAUGUGAGGAGCUUUGAGAGGGGGUGAGAGGAGCUUUAAGAGGGGGUGAGAGGCUUAGGGUUUAUGAGGGUGAGGAGGCCCUUUUAUAUAAUAAGGGCUCCUCCCCUAAUUACAUAUUUGCCCCUUCCUUUAUUACAUAAUUACAUUUAAGUCCCCCGAGUAUUUAUACGAGGUCUAAAUACGAGGCCCUAAAUAUGGUAUAAACAGUAGUCCCCCAAGUCUUCAGACAAGAGAGUCUUUUGGCUGGAGACUUGAAAUUCAAUCCAUGUGUGGGCCGAAGUAACUAGAUGUUGUCUUGAACUGAUGCUCGAUAUGAGGCGGUGCUCAAUCUGAAAUGAUGCUCAACUAGAAGUGCGAGGCUCGUGGCUUAUGUUGCCUUAGUUGGCUCAGCUUGUGGCAUUUGACGAUGAGGGAGUCCCUUUUAUAGAAUAGGGGCUUGCUCCUCAAUACAUGAAUGAUGGGCUAGAGUUGAUGCUCACGGCGAGGCGGUUGCUCAGUAGGCGGCGAUGCUCUCUAAUGGUGGUGAGGGAGUCCCUUUUAUAUAAUAAGGGUUCACUCCUCAAUACAUAAGUGAUGGGUUAAGAGUGAUGCUCACAGCGAGACGGUUGCUCAGCUGGCGGCGAUGCUAUCUAAUAGUGGUGAGGGAGUCCCUUUUAUAGAAUAAGGGUUCGCUCCUCAAUACAUAAGUGAUGGGUUAGGAGUGAUGCUCACAGCGAGACAGUUGCUCAGCUGGCGGCGUUGCUCUCUAAUGAAGGUGAGGGAGUCCCUUUUAUAAAAUAAGGGCUCGCUCCUCAGUACAUGAAUAAUGGGCUAGAGUCCUCCAAGUAUUUUUCAUAAGGCCUAGUUGAGGCCCAAUAUAUGGUACAUAAUGUAGUCCCCCUAGUUUUCGGUCAAUAGACGUUGUUGGUUGAAGACUUCAAAUUCAAUCCAUGUAUGGGCUGAAAUGGCGGUUGUUCGGAGGCGGUCUUUGUAGACCAUGCACUGAAGCUUUGUAGGUGAAGCUUUGCAAGUGAAGCUUUGCAAGUGAAGCUUUGAAGCUGGAGCUCUGUAAAUGAAACUUUUGAAGCUAGAGCUUUUGUAAAUGAAGCUUUUGAAGUUGGAGCUCUGUAAAUGACUCUUUUGAAGCUAAGACUUUGUAAAUGAAACUUUUGAAGCUGAUUGUCAUGAGUGAUGCUCAUGAAUGUUUAAUUGACAUGAGUGAUGCUCAUGAAUGUUUGAUUGACAUGAGUGAUGCUCAUGGAUGUUAACAUGAGUGAUACUCAUGAAUGUUUAUGUAUGAUUGAUAUGAGUGAUGCUCAUGAAUGUCUAUGUACGAAUGACACGAGUAGUGCUCAUGUAUAAUUUUGAAGUACUGGGUGUACUUUUGAUCACCUGGUUGGUGGCAUAAAUGGCUAAUUGCCAAAUUAUUUUAGAGUACGGUUUGUACAUUUCAUCACCUGGUUGGUGGUAUGAAUGGCUGGUUGCCAAAUGAUAUUGAAGUACGGGUUGUACAUUUCAUCACCUGGUUGGUGGUAAUAGCGGCAGGUUGCCGAAUAAUUUUGGAGUACUGGGCGUACUUUUGGUCACCUGGUUGGUGAUAAUAGAGGCAAGUUGCCGAAUAAUUUUUGGAGUACUGGGCAUACUUUUGGUCACCUGGUUGGUGCUAUUUUGGGCUUAUGGGCCUUCGCCCUCCAUGACAUGCCAGCCCAUUAAUUUUGGGCUUUGCCGUUUUUUUUUUUUUUUUUUGUAUUAUUACCCUCUGAUGGGAUUUAUUCAAAUGUCUCUGAGAGAUAAAAAAAUUAAAUUACAUCAUUCAAAAAAUCAAUAAAGCAGUCUGUGUUACUUUUUCUUUUGCUUUUAUUUUCUGCUUCGCUUUUGCUUUCCCAUGUGCUAUCGCAGAGCAAAGCUUCCCUUUUUUCUUUGUUUUUGCAUAUGGGUGGUCGACAGCGUGCCCUCCUCCUCAUCAGUACCUCCAACACCAACUUAGCAUCUUAAAUACUUUGGAGAGCCACCAGAGUAUUUAGUGGUGGUGGUGGGGUUCUGUCUUCAAGAUCCACAGCUCCAUCCCCCUUCCUAUCAACCCCUUUAAUCAUUUUCCCAUACUUUUUCAGCCUACACUUUUGGCAUCCCAGGCUCACCAAAACCUUCUACAACUGUUCGUUGUUUGGGUCAACGUCAUCGUCGUCAUCGCUUGCGAACUUGCCACCGAUUCGACGAGCUUGAAAAGCAAAAGCUUGGGAUCCGAAGUGUCGAUCUCGUUGUGGAUGAUGCCGAGGGAGAAGAGCUUGUAGAAGCAGUCGAUGACAGGGUAGACGACCUUAGGGUAAGCUGAAUCUACGGCGAUGAGGACGGGGCCGAGAGCAAACUCGGCGUCGGAAAGAAAAAUUCCAGAAAUGGGUGACUUUGGAUCGAAGAUAGAGGAGUUGGUGACAAAAUCGAGCUUGUCGAGGGCGGAUUUGCAGGCGGAGACCAACUGGAAUGCUUGCGCCAGGCGACGUUCUUGAUGAUUUUAUCGAGGUUGACCCCGGCGAUGCACGAUGUAUUCAUUCAGUUUCUUCAUGCCCUUGAAAGUCGCCUGGAACCGGGGCUCCAUUUUGGAAAUGAAAUUGCAUGCGGACCCGACCCGACUAGCAUCCAGGAAUAUACCGAGUUCCUUCUGCUAUGAACUCGCCAGUUUUAGGUGGUAAGUGAUCGUCGGAGAAGCAUAAUACAUGCCGGACAUUGACACCGUUGGAAUCGCUGACCAAGGAACCUUUUAGGAUUUGGGUGUUCCCACACCCAGUCACCAUGGAUAUGUGCUCGAGAGUUGCUUCUUCUCUUCGUUGACUUCGACCUCCACCAUUAUUGUUUGGUUUCGAAUCCGUCGUCCUUGGAAGUUGUCUUCUUCUUCAUCACUGUUUCAAGUCAAGCCUCUCCAAGUUUCAGGCUCUGGAGAUCCAUCACAAGAUUCGGAUCCUCCGACUCAUGAACCGAGUUGACUCGGUCGUCCAAAUUAACGACCUGGGUUGAAUCUGGAAGUGAACGAAACGGUGGAUGGGUAGGAUUCAAAAGCCUUUUUUUCCUCAGAACAAUGGAGGUCAUCGUCUUCUCCUUCUGGGCGGCGAAGAUUGUCCACUUGAUGUGGAGGCUGGUGGGGAGCGGGACAAAGACGGCGUCGAGUUGGGAUUGUCCAGAACGGCAUCAUAAGAGCCGUAGAUCUUAGCGGUCGGAGCGAAAUGGUUAGCCUUGGCGACACAUGUAGAAUUGUCAAUAAAGCGGCUUCUGCCAGUGUAAAGCGUUGCAUUUGGGGCUCGAGCUAUGACCUACAAAUCACGUGGACUUUCAGGAAAGAGGACGCAAAUCGCGAUCACCAAAGAUACCUGCCAACAAUUACGUUAUCUCCCUUCUUUUCUUUUGCCGUGUCUUCCACUUCUUUGUGGAAUUGUUUACAAUUCCACUAACACUUUUUUCUUUCUUUAUUCCUUUCCUCCAUUUUCUUCUUCUUUUUGGGUUUUGUAGAGAGAUAGAGAGAGAAGAGGUGGUGGUUUGGAAAUGAUGGCUGUGAACGUGAUGUUGCAAUUGACAGAAAAAAUCUUGGUCUCGCCGCCGACGUAGCAGAGCCGGUUGUCUUGCAGGCGAGGGAGGAACCUUCCGCCGUAGCUGCACAUGAACUUGGCCUUGUAAUUUUGGGUCUAUCUCUUUCAUGCAUGCAACCACCCCUGUUCAGUCUCCCAUUGAGCUUAACCACAAUCUUUCCAGCUCUAUGGUCGUCACCAUACUCAAACUCUGGUUUCCACAGGAGGCCCACUUCCACACUAAUAUUUGAAGAAUAAGUAUAAUAAUAAAAAUUAUUAAAACAAUCUUGCUUUAAGAAAGUGUGGCCAGCAUCUUGUAGUAAAAGAAGACUUAUCUUCUGUGGUUUGGAUAGUGGGAUUGUGGGCUGGCAGAUAGUGGGAUAAUGUCUAACAAGCAAAGUUGAUGUCGUUGAUGCUUUGUCGAUGCUGCCAAGUUGAUGCUCUGUCGGUAUUUCAUGAUUUCGUGCUGCUGGUCUUUUUUAGAGCGUGCAUGGCCAUGUUGGCCGCUGGUAGUGAUGACGGUGGCGGUGCUCUGUUCUUUCUUCAUGGUUUCUUUGUAGAAGAUGAGGUGGUGGUGUUGUCGAUGGAACGGUAAAUGGAGUCGAGGAGGGAGGAAGAGAAAGAUGUGUUGAGUAGCAGCAGCAGUUGGGGCUGCAGCUUCGGCAACACCUGGGGCAGCGAUGGAAACUGCAUCGCCAAGGCCAGCAUUCAGGACAAGAUCCUCGAUGUUUCUCUUCCCAUAAAGUUUGGCGAAGAGGCCAGGCCAGUAAGACUCGACAGGGACAUUGGCAGCUUUCACCAAGGUUGCAAUUUUCUCGGCAGUGACGGGGAUGCCUUCGUCUUGGAGGAAGGAAGCUUCUAGAGACACUGCACCGUAAUCGCGGGGAAGUUGUCGGUGAACUGGGUGUACUCCGACAAGAUCAUCGUACCUCGGGCCAUGAAGCUGUAGAUGAACGAUUCCUGAGUCAUUGUCGAGUUGGCGAGUGAGUUCGCUCGGAGGUGUGGAAGCAGCGGUAGCAGACAAAAUUAAAAGCUCUGGUUGGUCUUUGUUUCUUUGUUAUCAUGGCAAUUUUUCACAUUUAUUGAGCUGAUUUGUUUCUUUCUUUGUUUUUGGUUUCCGUGUGUGACUGGCUGACAAAGGAGAGAGAGGUGGUUGGAGGUCUGCGACAUUUUUUUUUUGAAAAAGCUCAAAGAGUGAGGUUUUUGGGUUCUGCAAAUUUUGCAGAUUCACAGUGGAGGUUGUGAAGUUUUCACGAUGGUGAGAUGAAAAAAUGAAAGAGAACCGACAUAGCUUUUUGUGUCGUUUCCCACAGACGGCGCCAAAUGUUGAUGCACAAAACCGGAUGGUCUUGGUACAACAUAAAUCCGACCGUGAAUCUGCAUAAAAUGUAAAUGACACAAGAGUUAUCGUGGUUCACCCCAAGGUUUGGGCUACGUCCACACUGAUUGUAUUAUAUUUCUCUGUUGAAGAGGGAGAGAGAGCUUAGGGGAUGUGAGGAGCUUUGAGAGGGGGUGAGAGGCUUAGGGUUUAUGAGGGUGAGGAGGCCAUUUUAUAUAAUAAGGGCUCUUCCCCUAAUUACAUAUUUGCCCCUUCCUUUAUUACAUAAUUACAUUUAAGUCCCCCGAGUAUUUAUACGAGGUCUAAAUACGAGGCCCUAAAUAUGGUAUAAACAAGGUGAAUAAAUUGAAAGCAUAAUUCCUCCACUUACAAUGAAGAGUUAUAUAACUUAGCGUUCAGACCGAUUUGCAAUGAAUUAUUCUCGGGUUGCCAUGUUAAUGGCGUCAAGGUUUUGGGGGCCAUACGAGAUGACAAGUUGUGUACGCAAAACAGCGGUGUCUAUGUCCCAGGUGGAGGUGAAAUUACAUACAUUGAUUUCUAUGGCAAACUAACAAGUGUCAUGCAAUUUCUUUACAAAGACCGAUGCCAAGUGAUCAUGUUUAAGUGUCGAUAGUUUGAUACAAACCUAAAUAUUUAAGGAAGUGUUAAAAUUAACCAUGGCUUACUAUCUGUGAACACUAACAGAACUUGGUACGAUACCGACCCUUCCAUUUUGGCAAACAUGGCAAAACAGAUUGUGUAUUUGGAUGACCCUAAAGUCGGGAAAGGUUGGAAAGUUGUUCAAAAGAUGCAUCAGAGGAAUGUGUAAGCUAUACCAGAACAAGACCUAGUGAUGACGACAUCGACAACGUCACUAACCAACAUUUAAAAUCUUCAAUGGAAAAUGAUGCGGAAACACUUCGAGGUACAAAUCUUAUCCAAUAAUCGUUUCAGAUACAAGAAGUGGCUUCAAUUGAAAUAUCGAUUCGGUCAAUUACAAUUGACCUCGGUAAUCUUCCACGAUAUGAUGCUACAGUGGGUCCGAACGACGACGAUGACGUACCUAUCGAGGAGGAGGAAUGAGAUACUGAAAAUGAUGAUAGCGACGAUAGUGAAAUUUUUUAUAGUUCGGAUGAUGAAUAAUGUAAUUUAUUUGUGACUUGCUUUGUAAAACAUAUUAAAUGAUUUUGUUUUGUAAUUUAUUUAUCUUAUGUUAUAAAUAAAUUGUUUUUAUUUGAAUAAAUAUAAAUUAAAUUUUUUUUUGACUUAGGUAAAUAAUAUUUUUAAUUCAUUGCAGGACGAACAUAAAGAUAUUCGUCGUGCAAAUGAUGUAUAAGUUCCUUUUUGUGGCACAAGAAGUUGAAAAUUUGACCUUCUGAGCAGACGCGAAAAUAAUUACGUGAAAAUUUGAAUUUUUUGCGCGACAUAUUUUAUAUAUACUAAAACCCAAAACGGGUGGAACACUGUUGAUGAACAGUGAAAGUAACAGUGUUUUUCCGUUUUUGCCCUUCUUGAUUUUCCAUUUUUGCCGUUCUAUUCCUUUGUGUUAUGAUUUUUUUGGACCAUUUUAUCCUUACACCAACACUUUGCGCUCGGACAUGCCCUUAUUCCUUUUAUGUUCUGAUUUUUUUUAAUCAUUCUACCUUUUCAGUCCACGUGUUUGUCAUCCGUUUUCAUUUUUGCUUCGCUGCCCUUUUCGUGUCAACACGUGUUGUUCCAGUUGCUUCCAUUUGUUUCCAAAGAUUCCACGCGUUGUUCAUCGACGCUGCCCUUUAGGUACGAAAAUUUCAAAUUUUUUUUGUGUUUUUUAUUUGUUUUCAAUGUUAAUUUCUGAUUAAAUUAUUAUUUUUGAUAAACCUAUUUAGAAUCUAAUUUGGGUUUUGCCUGGAUUCCAGAGUAAAAACCUUGAAACUUAAAGGUAAGAAAAUUUCAAUUUUUUUUUAUAUUCAUUUUCAGUGUUACUCUGUGAUUAAUAUUAUUAUGGGUUUUCCAGAAAUGCUAUUCUUGCUGAAGACCUGCCAUGUAAGUGAUUUAAUUUUUGCUUUUCGAACUUUUCGAACUUUUCAUGCAUAAUUAUGAAUAUGUAGAUGAUUUGAGGGCAAUUGUUUUUUACUUAAUCUCCAAUUCAAAGUGAAGGAUAUUGAGUUUUGUUAUCAUUUUAGUUAAAAAUGUGUCACCAUUUUAGUUAAAUUUAAUCCCUAAUUGAUCUGACUAACCAGCCAAAAAGGAUUAUACUCAAAAUGUCCGCAAAUAGAUGGGAUUUUAUUAAUGAAAAUUAAUCCUUAAUCUUCCUCGGUUCUGUUGUGGGAUCUCCAUAUAGCAAAUUUAUCCUACACUGUAUUUCAAAAAUCGUAGGUUAGAUUGACUACUCUAGCUAUACAAUUCUUCCGUGUAUGCUUUCCCUGAUUGAUAUAAAAUCAUACAUGAAUCUUCUGAUUCAAAUACUGUAGCUAAUAAACAGAUGAAAUUAAUUUGUAAAAUUGGGUUCUGACAUUUGGAAAUUAGUUUGAAAGCAUGUUUUUCUAUAUAGUGUUAAAUAUAUGCACAAAUGUAUUAAAAAUUUUACAUGCUUUUGGGCAACUAUUUUUGAGGUAGGUGAAGUCCUUCUGUUGCAUUGAUACAUCUAUAUCUUCAAUUAAUUUAGUCUAUUAACAUUCAAAUGAAUUAAGAUGUAAUAUUGUCACAUGAAAGUCAGUACUUGCUGACCACAUUUACACAUCACAGAUUCACAGAACACAUGAACUACAUUUUUCUUGGUUCUGCUUUUUAAAAAAUAUAGUUAACAAAUUCACCGAUUUGGUAAAGUGCUUUUAUAUGCACUUUAGAAUUGUGAUAUCUUCCCAAUUUCUGUAUAAAUUGUGUUUCCAUCAUUAGGGUCCUCUAAUUAUGUACAAUCUAGACAGAUUCACUGUCUAAUUAUAAGUUUGUAGCUUCUCUACAAUUUAAAAAGCAAGAAGAUAAGUAGUAAUGGUGUGAAUUAAAAACAUGUAAAAAAAUAUUAUUUAUAAUUGAACAAUCUUAUGUCAAACAAGUUGUUAAGAUAACACUCAAACAUAAGAAUGACAUAAUAUGUAACUUUGAUAAAAUUGCUGUAACGGUACAAAAUUCUGUGCUACAAAACCUUACACGUGUUUAUAGUUCUUAGACACUUAACAGAUGUAAUUAGUUUUUGCUUUUUUUAACAGAUAUUUGUGUCCCAAGCGACAUACAGAAUAAUUUACAAUGUCUUCAGCUUCUAUUGAUCUGGCCCAGUUUACAGCUCAGGGGAAAGAAGUAAUACUCUCUCUCUGUUAUGAUUUAUUCAGAUUUCUCAAUGUAUGAGUGCUGCUUAAAUUCGUAUCUAUCAUUCGUGUUUAAUUUUUAAUAAUUGAUGUUUCAAAAUGAUGAUAUAACAGUAAUGUUAUUGGGUUUGUUUUGGUUUCUAUGACCUAUAGUAUGUGUUUAUCUCAGUCUACCAAAAUAUUAAUCACCACAUCAGUUCAAUAGUAAUUUUAUGUAUCAUUUCUUUGUGACUUUCUGCAGAACUUGGAAUCAGACAUAACAUGUAUGAUGAAUAAGAAACUCAUACACAGAAUGACCCCACCAAGGUAUAUGCAAAUUAAAAUCAUAACUUGCGUCAAUAUAGAAGUAUAAAUUAUUUUUUAGCACACAACUUUGACAUAAUAAUUUGUCCCAUAAUUUAUAAACAUAUUAUACAGAUUUCAGCUACCUGGCAAUCAACGACUAAUAUCUCUUCUAAGAAGGCAAGAUCAACAUAUGGCAUGUCAGAGCAGUAUAUUUUUCACAAACAGAUGGUAAAAUUGUACACAUCACAUUAGGCAAGUUUCAAUCUUUUCUACUUCUAUUUUAACACAUUUCUAAUUAACAUUUCGUACUAAAUUUUGAUUACACUUUAUUUAUAUAUUUGAUUUCAGAAAGUCGAAUUACCACCUAGGAAAAAAAUACAUUUGAACUCCGGUUAUAAGAUGACUUCACACCUCUCUCUCUCCACUCUCUCUACCAAAACUCAGUUUUGAACUUUUUAUGCAUAUUUUUUUUUAUUCAUUGGCUGUCUUUAUUAUCUUUUACAGUUGUAUUCACAACUGUACAAGACACUCCGGAAUUUGUUACAACAAAAUGUCAAUUUUUCCUUCUUUGGAAACAUCUCAAGCUAGGAACAACUCUGGUAUCCAAGCUUUACAUUCAUUGUAUAUAACAAUUGAAGAAGCUAAUAAUGUUUUUCAACAUUGUUUAGCAUGUAGCAAGCUUUGUUUGACUGUAUACUCUCAAUACUGCAUUUGUCAAUUAUGCAGUUAUCAUUAGUUCAACUUUUUGAAUAAACAAUUAUCUUCUACUCUACACUUUGAAAAAAUAGAUCUUUCUUUUAGUAUCUAAAUUUGCUCCGUUCAUGAUAAAUUUACAUAUAAAUUGUAUUGUCAUUCGUAAUGCUCUGUUUUUUCACUUAAACAUUGUUUAUCAAAAUUGAAGCUAUAAAAUAUUUCAUAUAAUUUUCAAUCCCGCAACAACGCGCGGGUACAAAUUUCUAGUAUCUUUCUAUUCGUCACGCAAGAACCUAGGGAUUUAACUGAAAUAGCAAACACUUUCCCCUCAGCUCUUCUUCUCCGUAAACCCUUUCUCCCUCCGACAGCCGUCUCUUUCACUAAAUCUCUGUCACCCUCUCACCCCCUCACCCUCUUGCCACCUCAGACUCUCUCUUCCUCCUCCGACAGCCGUAUCUUUGAGAUAUAUGCACAAUUUUAGGAUUAUUUUGUGCUUUGAUUAUAAUUAGGGUUGUAAUCUUCUUUGAUUUUGUAUAUGCACAGCAUGGGAAUGAUUAAUGACCUCGAUUGGGGUUCUAAUCUAGAUUGGGAAUGAAUCUAUGCAGAUGGUCAUAUAUAAAAAUUAUUUUGAUUUUUUAGUAAUUUUGUUUGUAUGCUCAUAAUGUAAACUGGGUUCUUAUCAGAUUGUAUAGUUCCAUUAUGUUUGUAAUUUAUUUCUUUUUGCUGAUUACUUAGCUGGGUUUUCCUUAAAUUACAUAAUCUGUUACCUUUAUUUCUCUGCUAGGUGCUGAUUAUUUUAACUGGAUUUUCAUCUGAUUUUUUAUCCAUUUUUUAUUUUAGUUUUCUGCUUGAUUUGUUUUAAAAGUUUACCGUUAUCAGAGGAUGAAUAUUUACUUUUUUAUUGCUUUUUCUGUUUGAUUUGUUUAAAUGUUGCUGGGUUAUUGACCAAAAAAAAAAUGUUGCUGGGUUUUCAUCGGAUUUUAUAAUCCGUUUUCUAUUUUGCUUUGUUCAUAAUGGCAAAGGAGAAGUUCUUAGGUAGUGAUUGGGUUGUAUAGUGUGUGUGGUGGGAGGGAGAGGGAGAUCCAUAGGAUUCUUGGUGCUGGUUUGAUUCCUUCAGUUGACAAAACAAUAGGAAACUUGUGUAAAUUAGAGAUUCAAACUUUGGUACAUAAAGUUAAGCACUGUUUUGGCCAACUCAAGUUUGCAACUAAAGAACCUAAAUUUGAAGGAUAAAGGGUGUAAAAGGAAUUUGAGUUUCAGAGAAUGUUUGAAAUAUGUAUUGUAUUUGGUCAUAUUCAUGGAAGGGAUUUACUUACCAUCUAGUGCCAUUGAUCUGCUUUGACAAAUAUAAGCUGGAUGUUCUAAGUUUGUACGUUCCUUCAGUUUUCUAAAUUUGCAUAUUCCUUAGACAAUAUGGUUGAUUUGUCAAUUUCUAUUGGUAUUUGUCCUGUGAAUUGUUGUUGGUUCUUAUAGAUGGUAGUCCCAUUUGACAUGAUAUGCAUUGCAGCAAGAGAGUAGAAAUGAUACUCCUUGCUCCUAUAGGGAACUGCACGGUUGAAGGUUUCAUACUCUCCAAACAUCAUUUCCAUGGAGAUGCCACAGAUGCGUCUCACUGUUGUUCACUGUCAUAGUGUUUGCAUUCUGCAAUAUAAUAUGCACCGUGCUAUUGAACCUCACCCGGUAUAUCCCAUUGCUUGAAGUAGCUUUUACAUUCUUAGCAACGUUGUAUAUGUCGUAGUUCUCGAAGUUGUAGUUUUACAGAGGAAGGUUGUGGUCGAAAACGUAGUUUGGGUUUACAUUUCUUUUAGGGCUACUAAGUAAGGUGUGUGGGGAAGAGAGAAAGAUACAUUGUUUAAGGACCAUCUUGUUUUGUGUGUUGAGAAGCACAAUCACUUUGUUUGAAGUGUGAGGAGUGUGAGUGAAAUUUUUGUGGGCUUUGAGUGAAAGACUUUGUGCCAAUCUUUGUGCAGUUUCGUUCCAUAGGGGGCCUGUGGUUGGAAGAGUUGGAGGAAAUUUCUUGGGGUAGUUUGGAUAGUAAGUGAGGAUUGCUAGGCCCGUUGGGGUUGAAGGUUUCCGACUGUUUCUAGUUAUCCAGUAGCUUCUUGAUGGGUUUUGGUUUGCCUUUACCAGGACAAAAUAGGUCUUGCCGGAGUAAAUGCAUAGGUUUUAGGUCUCAAAUGGCUCGACAUAAUGCGCAUCGGCUUCAAUAACAGUCAUAUUGUGACCCUGCAUAGCAUUUUAUUUUGUCGCUAAUAAAUACAAGCUUUAAUUUUUUUUUAACAUAAUUGGAACUAUUAGGGUGCGUUUGUUGCACCGGACUAUCUUGGAUUGGACUAACUUCAGGGACUAAGCUGGACUGGCUUAGACUAGACUAAGCUGGACUGAUUUAAUGAAGCGUUUGAUGUAGUGUCGGACUAAGAAGCAGGAUAACUAUUAAAUUUAGAUACUAUAUUUUGAUCAUACUUAUUUCAUAAAACCCAUAUCACACUUAUUUCAGAUAACCCUCAAUUAACAUUUUAAAAUUAAUCAAGAAAAUAUGUAAUAAACCAUGUAUAAACUUUAUCAAAUAUAUACCAACUCAGACGAUUCCAAAGAUCUACCAAAAAGUAAAAUAAGAAAUAUAGACACCAAAAAAUCAAACAUCCAAAGAUCAAUGGCAGAACACCAGUAAUCAAAUAGCAGAACACUAGGAAUCAAACAGACAAAGCAUUUGUUCACAACAACAACAACAACAACAACAAAGCCUUUUCCCACUAAGUGGGGUCGGCUAUAUGAAUCCUAGAACGCCAUUGCGCUCGGUUUUGUGUCAUGUCCUCCGUUAGAUCCAAGUACUCAAGUCUUUUCUUAGGGUCUCUUCCAAAGUUUUCCUAGGUCUUCCUCUACCCCUUCGGCCCUAAACCUCUGUCCCGUAGUCACAUUUUCGAACCGGAGCGUCAGUAGGCCUUCUUUGCACAUGUCCAAACCACUGGAACUGAUUUUCUCUCAUAUUUCCUUCAAUUUUGGCUACUCCUACUUUACCUCGGAUAACCUCAUUCCCAAUCUUAUCCUUUCUCGUGUGCCCAUACAUCCCACGAAGCAUCCUCAUCUCCGCUACACCCAUUUUGUGUACGUUGAUGCUUCACUGCCCAACAUUCUGUGCCAUACAACAUCGCUGGCCUUAUUGCCGUCCUAUAAAAUUUUCCCUUGAGCUUCAGUGGCCUACGACCGUCACACAACACGCCGGAUGCACUCUUACACUUCAUCCAUCCAGCUUGUAUUCUAUGGUUGAGAUCUCCAUCUAAUUCUCCGUUCUCUUGCAAGAUAGAUCCUAGGUAGCGAAAACGGUCACUUUUUGUGAUCUUCGCUAGAUUGCUCCGGUCAUUAGUGUGGAUAAGUAUAUAAAUGGAUAGAGAUAGGAAAGCAAACACAAGAUGUAUGUGGUUCACCCAGAUUGGCUACGUCCACGGAAUAGAGGAGUUCUCAUUAAUUGUGAAGGGUUUACACAAAAGCAAACACAAGAUGUACGUGGUUCACCCAGAUUGGCUACGUCCACGGAAUAGAGGAGUUCUCAUUAAUUGUGAAGGGUUUACACAAGUACAUAGGUUCAAGCUCUCCUUUAGUGAGUACAAGUGAAUGAUUUAGUACAAAUGACAUUAGGAAAUAUUGUGGGAGAAUGAUCUCGUAGCCACGAAACUUCUAAGUACCGGAGUGUGGUAUCGUCUUGACUUGCCUUAUCUGUCUCAUAGGUAGAUGUGUGGCAUCUUCUCUGGAAGUACUCUUCCUCCAUCCAGGGGUGGUAUCUGUAACUGGUGGAGAGAUGCACAAGGUAAUGUAUCAAUUUCACUUGAAGCUUACUUGUAGUUUCAGGCUUGGUCAAGCGCGAUACAAACCAUGUAGUAGGAGUCCCCCAAGUCGCCGAGCUAGGGGAUCUGCUGAAAGAGGUGACAGACAAGGUAAGCAAUCAGAGCUCCGGCUGAUUGUUCACAUUCUCCCUAUCUUGCAGGCAGCAUGAAGGAUAAAGAGAAGAAAAAUGAGGAGAGAUGAUAUGGGAUACUUUUGCUUUUGAAGAAGUAACUUUCCACAGGCUUAUUCUUGAACUGGGCUGGAGGGUUUUCUGGUUUCCUCCAGAGUAUAAGGCCGACUGAAGAAUUUGAGGGUCAAAACAAGUCCAUCAAAUCUAGAGUACGUUCGACCCUGCUGAUAUGGGAUACUUUUUGCUUUUGACAGAGUAGUGGAUGUAUCGGCACGUGUGCUGUUACGCUUGUCUCCACAUGCUUCCUUGUAUCCUUCUCACUUGCCCUAUUUGUUCCUCAGGCAGAUGCGGUAUCUUCCCUGGAAGCAUAAGAUGUUGAAGAUGAGUACUCGAGAGCAAUGCCAGGUAAGUAAUCAGGUAAGGGGUUCCAGGCAGUCAGUUCCUGGCUGGAAGCUUGAUUCCAAGUGCUGACUGAUUGCUCUCUUUCUCCUUGUCUUGCAGGUAAGAACAAGGCCAAAGGAAAAGACAGGGAAAAAGCAUGAUAUGGGAUACUCUUGCUUUUAACCCUGAUGAUAUGAGAUAUUCUUGCUCUAGUAUAGCUUGUUUACAGAGGUAUUAUCGGGGGGAAAGAAAGCUGAAUAUUUCGAAAGGCUUCGUUGGGAGUGCCCUCUCAGAUAGAGAAAGGGUUGAGCAUUUUUGCAGGUCUGCCUGUCCGUUGGGGAUGGAGGUCGACAUAUAUAGGAGUCUCCCUAACAUCAAGUAAUAAUGCUAUUCCUUUACCCUGCUUGGUUAUAGCACGGUAGUGGGAGCUGCCAGCUUCACAUGUUUUAACUCUGUCAGAGCACUUUGAAAAGUGGUAUGUGGUAUCUGGAAAGCUGAUGUUGCGUGUGAAGAUUACAGACAAGCUUUAUCCAAGGAGAUCCAGCUCUUGAAGUUGGGAAAGUGGUGCCUCUUUCGAUUUUUCGAACAAGCAAUACUGUCGGGGAUCUGGCUCUCGAGAUUCGGAGAACGAUGCCUCUUCGAUUUUUGAGAAAGCAAUCCUGCUGGGGGUCUGGCUCUCGAGAUUCGGAGAGCGGUGUCUCUUCGAUUUUUGAGAAAGUAAUCAUGUUGGGAGUCUGGCUCUCGAGAUUCGGAGGGCGGUGCCUCUUCGAUUUUGGAGCAAGCAAUCUUGUUGGGAGUGUUUUCUCGAAUGUGAGUAAAGGUUGGGACGUGUUUGCUAGUCUACCUUGCCACGAAGCACAGAGGUUGACACACAGGGACUUUCCAAUUAUCCAGCAGUGGUACUGUUCCUUUACCUCUCUUCGAUUUUUGAGAAAGUAAUCAUGUUGGGAGUCUGGCUCUCGAGAUUCGGAGAGCGGUGCCUCUUCGAUUUUGGAGCAAGCAAUCUUGUUGGGAGUGUUUUCUCGAAUGUGAGUAAAGGUUGGGCAUGUUUGCUAGUCUACCUUGCCACGAAGCACAAAGGUUGACACACAGGGACUUUCCAAUUAUCCAGCAAGUGGUACUGUUCCUUUACCCUCUCUUCGAUUUUUUUUGAGAAAGUAAUCAUGUUGGGAGUCUGGCUCUCGAGAUUCGGAGGGCGGUGCCUCUUCGAUUUUGGAGCAAGCAAUCUUGUUGGGAGUGUUUUCUCGAAUGUGAGUAAAGGUUGGGCAUGUUUGCUAGUCUACCUUGCCACGAAGCACAGAGGUUGACACACCGGGACUUUCCAAUUAUCCAGCAGUGGUACUGUUCCUUUACCCUUGUGGGUAAUAAUAUGGUAGCUAGACCUUCAAAAUUUAUGUGUCUAAACUUUGUUAGUGCUGUUUCUUUGCUAUUCUUUUACCCUUCUUGGUCAGAGCGAUGUAGUGGGAGCUGCAAGCUUCACGUAUCUCAACUUUGUCAGAGAACUUUGGCAAAGUUAUCUGUGGUACCCAUGAGCUACUGUUGCGUGUGGGAAGUGGGUGAUUGAACAGUACGAUUCAUGUGCUUUUCUACUUCCCAGAAAUCUUCGACAGAAUGCCCAUAAUUUCCGCAAAGCUGAGUGUGCGUGUGACAGGUGCUGACAAAGUAGUGCCUCUUCGAUUUCUGAGAUCAGCCCUCGUGGUCUCUGAGCAGCCCAGCUUUUGAGAAAGCAAGCCUCUUCGAUUUCUGAGAUCGGCCUUCGUGGUCUUCGAGCAGCCCAGCUUUUGAGAAAGCAAACGCCUCUUCGAUUUCUGAGAUCGACCCUCGUGGUCUCUGAGCAGCCCAGCUUUUGAGAAAGCAAACGCCUCUUCGAUUUCUGAAGCUUCGUCGAGUGCAGAUUUUUUAUAGGGGCUGGACAUUAAGUUCCAAAGCACACUUGAAUCUCCACCAGUAGAAGCUCCAUUCUUGCACUUCUAAGAUCUUGAUUUGUCCGACCUCUUCUCUCUUCAACACCUUUGAAAAUGUCUGGCCCCUCCGACCGUCGUUUUGACUUGAACCUUGUUGAAGAGGCAGCCCCGCCUUCUCCAGACAACAUAUGGCGCCCAUCCUUCGUCUCCCCUACUGGUCCUCUUACCGUUGGGGAUUCCGUGAUGAAGAAUGAUAUGACCGCUGCGGUGGUGGCCAGGAACCUUCUCACUCCCAAAGAUAACAGACUACUUUCCAAACGGUCUGAUGAGUUGGCUGUUAAGGAUUCUCUGGCUCUCAGUGUUCAGUGUGCAGGUUCUGUGUCUAAUAUGGCCCAACGCCUAUUUGCUCGAACCCGCCAAGUUGAAUCAUUGGCGGCUGAAGUGAUGAGUCUCAAACAGGAGAUUAGAGGGCUCAAGCAUGAGAAUAAACAGUUGCACCGGCUCGCACAUGACUAUGCUACAAACAUGAAGAGGAAGCUUGACCAGAUGAAGGAAUCUGAUGGUCAGGUUUUACUUGAUCAUCAGAGAUUUGUGGGUUUGUUCCAAAGGCAUUUAUUGCCUUCGUCUUCUGGGGCUGUACCGCGUAAUGAAGCUCCAAAUGAUCAACCUCUGAUGCCUCCUCCUUCUAGGGUUUUGUCCAGUACUGAGGCUCCGAAUGAUCCCCUCCGGUGCCUUCUCUUUCUGGGGCUCUACCGACUGCUGAGACUUCUCCUAAGCAACCUUUGUGAAAGGCUCCCUCUUGUUUGUUUAUUUUGACUCAUGUAUAUGUACAUAUUUGUAACUUAUCGGGGAUAUCAAUAAAUAAGCUUUCCUUCAUUUCAACGUAUUGUGUUAAAUACACCAAAGCCUUCUUCGCUAAGUUCUUUGAAUUUUCUUUUGUUGAAGCUUGUAUGUUGAAGCUUUGUGAGUGGAGCAUGUAGGUUGAGGUAGUGUUCCCUUAAUUUCCCGAGUGAGGAAAACUUCUUGGUUGGAGACUUGGAAAAUCCAAGUCACUGAGUGGGAUCGGCUAUAUGAAUCUUAGAACGCCAUUGUGUUCUGUCCUGUGUCAUGUCCUCGUUAGAUCCAAGUACUCUAAGUCCUUUCUUAGGGUCUCUUCCAAAGUUUUCCUAGGUCUUCCUCUGCCCCUUCGGCCCUGAACCUCUGUCCCAUAGUCGCAUCUUCUAAUCGGAGCGUCAGUAGGCCUUCUUUGCACAUGUCCAAACCACCGUAACCGAUUUUCUCUCAUCUUUCCUUCAAUUUCGGCUACUCCUACUUUACCCCGGAUAUCCUCAUUCCUAAUCUUAUCCUUUCUCGUGUGCCCACACAUCCAACGAAGCAUCCUCAUCUCCGCUACACCCAUUUUGUGUACGUGUUGAUGCUUCACCGCCCAACAUUCUGUGCCAUACAGCAUCGCCGGCCUUAUUGCCGUCCUAUAAAAUUUUCCCUUGAGCUUCAGUGGCAUACGGCGGUCACACAACACGCCGGAUGCACUCUUCCACUUCAUCCAUCCAGCUUGUAUUCUAUGGUUGAGAUCUCCAUCUAAUUCUCCAUUCUUUUGCAAGAUAGAUCCUAGGUAACGAAAACGGUCGCUCUUUGGUAUUUCUUGAUCUCCGAUCCUCACCCCUAACUCGUUUUGGCCUCCAUUUGCACUGAACUUGCACUCCAUAUAUUCUGUCUUUGAUCGGCUUAGGCGAAGACCUUUAGAUUCCAACACUUCUCUCCAAAGGUUAAGCUUUGCAUUUACCCCUUCCUGAGUUUCAUCUAUCAACACUAUAUCGUCUGCGAAAAGCAUACACCAAGGAAUAUCACCUUGAAUAUGUCCUGUUAACUCAUCCAUUACCAACGCAAAAAGGUAAGGACUUAAGGAUGAGCCUUGAUGUAAUCCUACAGUUAUGGGAAAGCUUUCGGUUUGUCCUUCAUGAGUUCUUACAGCAGUCUUUGCUCCUUCAUACAUAUCCUGUAUAGCUUGGAUAUAUGCUACUCGUACUCCUUUCUUCUCUAAAAUCCUCCAAAGAAUGUCUCUUGGGACCCUAUCAUACGCUUUUUCCAAAUCUAUAAAGACCAUGUGUAAAUCCUUUUUCCCAUCUCUAUAUCUUUCCAUCAAUCUUCGUAAGAGAUAGAUUGCCUCCAUGGUUGAGCGCCCUGGCAUGAACCCGAAUUGGUUGUCCGAAACCCGUGUCUCUUGCCUCAAUCUAUGCUCAAUGACUCUCUCCCAGAGCUUCAUUGUAUGACUCAUUCAGCUUAAUACCCCUAUAGUUCAUGCAAUUUUGUACAUCGCCCUUAUUCUUGUAGAUAGGCACCAAAGUGCUCAUUCGCCACUCAUUCGGCAUCUUCUUCGUUUUCAAAAUCCUAUUGAAAAGGUUAGUGAGCCAUGUUAUACCUGUCUCUCCCAAAACUUUCCACACUUCGAUUGGUAUAUCGUCUGGGCCUACUGCUUUUCUAUGCUUCAUCUUCUUCAAAGCUACACCCACUUCUUCCUUCCGGAUUCUACGAUAAAAAGAGUAGUUUCUACACUCUUCUGAGUUACUCAACUCCCCUAAAGAAGCACUCCUUUCAUGUCCUUCAUUGAAAAAAGAUUAUGAAAAUAACUUUUCCAUCUGUCUUUAACCGCGUUCUCUGUAGCAAGAACCUUUCCAUCCUCAUCCUUGAUGCACCUCACUUGGUUUAGGUCCCUUGUCUUCUUGUCCCUUGCUCUAGCUAGUUUAUAGAUAUCCAACUCUCCUUCUUUGGUAUCUAGUCGCUUAUACAUAUCGUCAUAAGCCGCUAACUUAGCUUCUCUCACAGCUUUCUUCGCCUCUUGCUUCGCUUUUCUAUACCUUUCACCAUUUUCAUCGGUCCUAUCCUUGUAUAAGGCUUUACAACAUUCCUUCUUAGCCUUCACCUUUGCUUGUACCUCCUCUCAUUCCACCACCAAGAUUCCUUUUGGUGUGGGGCAAAACCCUUGGACUCUCCUAAUACCUCUUUUGCUACUUUUCGGAUACAACUAGCCAUGGAAUCCCACAUUUGGUUAGCUUCCCCCUCUCUAUCCCACACACACUGGGUGAUUACUUUCUCUUUGAAAAUGGCUUGUUUUUCUUCUUUUAGAUUCCACCAUCUAGUCCUUGGGCACUUCCAAGUCUUGUUCUUUUUUCUCACUCUUUUGAUAUGUACAUCCAUCACCAACAAGCGAUGUUGAUUAGCCACGCUCUCUCCUGGUAUAACUUUGCAAUCCUUACAAGUUAUAUGAUCCCCUUUCCUCAUUAGAAGAAAAUCUAUUUGUGUUUUUGACGACCCACUCUUGUAGGUGAUCACAUGUUCUUCUCUCUUCUUAAAGAAGGUGUUGGCUAAGAAGAGAUCAUAUGCCAUUGCAAAAUCCAAGAUAGCUUCCCCAUCCUCGUUUCUCUCCCCAAAACCAUGGCCACCAUGAAAACCUCCAUAGUUGCUUGUCUCCCUGCCCACGUGUCCAUUUAAAUCUCCUCCUAUAAAUAACUUCUCUGUCUGAGCAAUUCCUUGCACCAAGUCUCCAAGGUCUUCCCAAAAUUUCUCCUUCGAACUCGUAUCCAACCCUACUUGAGGUGCGUACGCACUAAUCACAUUGAUAAGUUCUUGUCCUAUUACAAUCUUGAUUGCCAUGAUUCUAUCUCCUACCCUCUUGACAUCUACAACAUCUUGUGUCAAGGUCUUGUCCACGAUGAUGCCAACACCGUUUCUCGUUCUAUUUGUGCCCGAAUACCAUAGUUUAAACCCUGAGUUUUCUAGAUCCUUUGCCUUACGACCAACCCACUUAGUUUCUUGUAGGCACAUAAUAUUUAUCCUUCUCCUCACCAUAACUUCUACUACUUCCAUAGAUUUUCCCGUCAAGGUUCCUAUAUUCCACGUUCCUAAACGCAUUUUGCUCUCUUGAACUCUACCCUUCUGUCCUAGCUUCUUCACCCUUCCCCGUCUAAUAGGAUCAAAGUACUUCUUUUGUGUGUCCCGUGUAAAGUUGAUAGGAGCAUAUGCUCCCAAACAACUUUGAGUGGAGUCGUUCGAAAAGAAGUUUCUAUAGCCCCCUUGCUCAUUUAACACUGCAUCCGGGUGCCGAUGGAGAUACAGCGACCCUUGCUCACUUAUCACUGUGCUCAGGCCACACAGCGCGCCACUUACGGGUGACGCCCUAGCUUUAGCGCGAUUUCGUUCUGGAUUCAUUUUCAUAAGGAUUCGACGUGAUCAUGGAAUCCCCAAAGAUGAAUCAGAAAGAAUCCCCAAAGACUACAAGACGAAUCUCCCCUCUCUUGCUGCAAGAUGAAUCCCAAUUUGCAAGACGAAUCUCUCCUCUCUCGCUUCAAGACGAAUCUGCAAUUUGCGUGACGACGAAGAAAAGUAGGAUGGUGGGGAUGUCGGUGCAAAGAGGAGAGAAGCAGACUAGAGGUGAAUUGAACAGUUGUCGGAGAAGAGGAGUGGGGUGGGUGGGGCUGUCGGUGCAAAGAGAAGACAGAAACAAACGAAGCAUAUGAAGAAGACGAAACGAAUCAGACGAAGUGAAGCGAGCGAAGCGAGAAGGGGCUUAGCAGUCCUCUCGUAUUUGGGGGGGUCUCGCUAAGACCUUCUAACGAAGGUGUUAGUCGAGACGAGUCCCACUUAAUACCAUUAAAGGUAAUCCCUCCCUGUAACAAACACAAGACUAGACUGACUUUUAGUCCAGUCUAGUCUAGUGAGACUUAACGAAGGGAAACAAACACACCCUUAGAGACUUGGUGAGUAUUGAGUUAUAUUUACCUUAAUUUGAAAACUUAGAGCUGAUAGAGAGGUCAAGCUACCAAUCCUUAAUGGGUAUAUUUUUCCAGGGAUUACUGUCAGAAUAUAGGGAGAACAGUCGGGAUUUGUCGCGUUACAGACCCCGACUUCUAGGCUAGGAGUCUCUAGUAGAGAGCAGUUGAAUCUCCAUCUUCCAUUAAUCAGAAGUGAUUGCAAAGCUAACGGAAUGUACAUUAAGUUUAUAAAACAUGGGCAACGUAUUCUGUAAAAUGAUCUCUACUUUUGUUCUUCAAGUUAGGAAACAACCUUUCCAAUAUUUAUGUUGUUUUCAGGGGAAAAGUGAAACAUGGUGAAUAGUUAGAAACACAAAAAGGAACCUUUCAAGUGGAAUAAAUGUUUCAUUCUUCAGAGACUCUGUUGUUGGUCCUCGCUUUUCAUGUUUAUAUGACCUUCUUUUUAGAAAGUGCGAUAUCAACUACCAUCAGUGUUUUGCUACACGAGGGAUAGGGUAGUAUUACAAAUUCAGUUAUGAAAAUAAACUCUUGAAAUAAUUUGUUCUUGUAAAUAGUGUAGAGAAGAUGUUACCUUAAAUAAUAAUCUAAUUAGCCUUUGUUUGCCGUUUCAGUUACAAAAUAUGUGUGUGCGCGCGCUCGCGCGCAUUAUGGAUCUUUAUGUGGGGCAGAACAUAUAUAUGCAUUGACUUUUGUUUUCCUAAUUGGGCAGAUGUCGUAGCUUAUUAGAAGUCGUAAGGUGGUGACGACUGCAACUUGUUCGAUUGCCCCGCCUCCUACUUCAGUCGCCACUGCUCCAGCAUAAAUGGAGCCCAGGCUGGUUAAUCCGGUUGAUGUGGUUGAUCCAGUUGCUUCCCGAGUCUCCCAGGAGUUGGCAUCAUCAGCCUCUUGAGUGGUGCUACCUAUUGGCGCUAGGCGUGGUCACCGCCGCCCCUGCACGCCUAACAGGAUAUCGGCAUCCACUACUGAUGUCUCGGGGUCCCACAAGGUAAACAUGUGAUAAACACUGAUAACUGAUUUUUUUUCUAUAGUGCCUUGAUAUUGGAUUGCCUAAUGAUGUUGGGAGGGUGGUCAUUAGUUCUUUGUAGGAAACAACGUGUCUCUGAAAAUGUUUGUACUUAGGUAAGUAGAAGUAUAAGGUGUAAAGCUAAUAAUUUAGUGUUCUCUGCAUGUCCAUUAUAUAAAGGAUUCUCAUCUAAAUGAUCAUGGUAAGCGUUAGGCCAUUAGUCUUCAAGUAUUGAAGCAAUUCAUAACAGCAUUUGAAUUUGCUACUUAAAUUCCUAGGUUCUACUAUGUGGCAUCCACUACAGAAGCAUUCAACUAUUGUGAUUGUUGUUGGAUAUCAUAUAUAAUUCAUUACAAUGUCCAGGGUUUGGGAAAUGUUAUAACUUUAGGGGAAGUUUUGCCGAAAUUUCGAUACAAUUUGUAGUGUUUGUUUGACUUUUUUUUUUAAUUUUUUUUUCAACAAAGAAAAAUACUCGGGGACCUUGUCGUCAGUUGAAGACUUCGAACGUCACGUCAUUGGUUACAUCGUUUGGACCUAUUGCCCUAUGCGAUGAAAGUCUUGGAAGGCGAUGCCAGACGAGGUGAAGAUGAAGGUGCGCGAUUAUUUGUCGAUAAGUAUCCUGGCAUUUUAUUGAUUUUCCCUUAAAGUUUAUAUAUUUAUAUUAAUUAAUGAUAUGUACUUAUUUUGUGUUACAUUGUAGAAAAACUACGAUUUCGACGACAUCAACGACGAUAUGUUGGCGUACGUCAACAUUGAAUGGUACAAGCAGUGGAAGAGCAACCUGCACCAAUAUUUUCAGACAUUUGAUGAUCUGCAGGUGAUCGGAUCAUAUUUAUAUAUAUUUUUACUUCGAAUUCACUCGUCUUUUCUUAGUUAGUUCCUUAUAUUUUUGAGCUAUUUACGUUAUUUUUGUGUUUAUAGGAUUUGUUAUGCAAAGAAAAUAAAAAUAGAACAAAUGAAAUUUUAUGUAAUAAAUUCGUCAAAACUGUCUGUGUAGAUCAGCUUUUAAAUUAAAUUAAAAAAAAAUAUAUAAUAAUGAUAAAUCAUGAUGAUGUUUGAAACAUCAUCAUGAUGGUUUUGUUUUGUAGAAGAAAAGAAAGGAACGGAUGGAGAAGAAGAAAGAAAGGAAUAAAAAAAGAAAAGAAGGAAUAAAAAAAAUUAAAAGAAGAAUAAGUGAGUCCACACAUGAGGGAUCCAAAGAAAGAUAUACGAAAGAAGAAGAAAAAGGAGAAUCCAAGGCGUGAAAGGGAUAGAGGCGGGAGACAGAGAAGACUUGAAAAAGUGGGAAAUAAAAAUAAUAAGAUAGAGAGGAGAAAGCAGCUGGCAGAGACGAAAUUGGGGGGGGGGGAGAGAUGGAGCUGCCUUUGGCAGCACGGGGUCAGAGAGGAUAGAGAUACGUGAGGGAAGCAAAUAAGAAAGAAGAAAGAAAAAAAAGGUGAGGGACUGACAGAAAAGCAGAGGGCUGCCCUUUGGGCAGCGUGAGGCUGCGCAGAAAUAAAAGGGACAGUUCGGCAUGGCAGGAGAGAAGUGACGCAGGGAGUGAGGGCAGAAGCACAGAAACGCAGCAGAUCUUAUUCUCUCGGUUAAAUCUUUCCAACUUAUGAUUAAUUUUUGGUUUAAUUUUAGAAUAAUGUGUAGCUAAAUUUAUUUUGGCUAGAGGUUAAUUCAAAGCCAUGAAAUAUAUUUGUAAUAUGAAUUGAUUACCUUCAGUUGUGAUUUCUGAGUUGUGAUUUAAUUUUCUUAACUGCUUGAUUGAUAACUUAUUUUUGUAUGUCGAUUAAGGAUGCAUACUUAAUUUACAUGCAUGAAUUUGAUGCUAGAAUAUAAGUGAAUUUCACCUAAUCGUUAUGAACUUAUAUUCACAAGUAGUGAAGGUUGUUAUCCACAAUCGUGUUAAGUGAAUUCUUGGCAAGGGUAUCAUGCUUUUCAUAGUUACGAAUGCCUCGUCAAUGCUUAUAGUUUUCACAAAGUUUAAUGAUCUUUGAUUGUAUCUCUAUUGUGCUUUUCACGUAGGGGACUUUUGAAGAAUGUUUUGAAUUGUUGUAUGCGUUUUCCCGUCCAAUUCAAUAACUUAAGGAAAACUUGAAGAUUAAAAAAAGUGUUGUUCACGGUUAAUCUGAAGUGUUGAGAUUCACAACUUAUUGAAAGAACAACUGAAAAUCAAUUUAGGUUGCAUAUGUGUCAUGUGUAGAGAAGAACCCUCUAGCUAAUCCAUCACCUAUCAUUUCACCUUAAUUUCAUGUUUUUGUCAAUUCUGUAAUUUAUUUAAGUUUAAUUUACUUCUCGUCAAAACCAAACCCCCCAUUAUUAAAUUAUUUUAUUUAGUUAGUUUUCAUUGUUGUUAGUCUUUUAAUUCAAUUUCCGUCCAUUGCAGUUCCUAGUGUCUAAUUUGAUUGUUUUCAUUAUUUUGAGUCAUCCUAAGUGUGUUUCGAGUUAUUAGAGUUUUUAGCCUAGUUUUGUGUCCUUGAGUCUUAUUUAAUAUUUUUAAAUUAAUUUAGAAUAGAUUAGCAAUCCCUCCUAAUCCCCGGCCUAGAACGAUACCCUACUUACAUCCAUACUACAAUUGUCAAAAAGAGGGUUUAAUUUGUGUGUCAAGAAAUUCUCACAUCAAAUUUUGGCGCCGUUGCCGGGGAUUAGCAACUUUGCUAAUCCUUUUAUUUUUGUUUUUGUUUAUGUUUAUAUUGGUGUUUGUGUAUUUUACUUUUGAUAUUUGAUUUAUUUUUCUUUCUUUGAUUUUAGGUUCAAAUGGAGCCGAGGGAAAUUUAAAGGAAAGAUGCGUCCGGCUAAAGACGUUAAAUCAAGCGCUUCUUGGGAGGCAACCCAAGCAUUCAACGAAGGGAGACUUUGGAAUCACUAACCCAAUCAGCUUUGCAUUCUUCCACCCUUAUCUUUACUGCUUUCAUUUUGUUUUGUUUAGUUAGUUGUGUUAUUUGGUUGAUUUCUGUGAGUUUGUGUUUGUGUUAUUUAGUUUAAGUGUGGGGGAAGGUUAACCAAAGUCUCUUUACAUUAAUUUACAUUUAAAAAGAAAAAAAAAGAUAAAAUUUAAAAUUAAUGAUAAAAAAAAAAAUACAUAAAAAAAAAAAUACAUAAAAAAAAAUAAAAAUUUAAAAAAAAAAAUUUAAAAAUUAAAAAAAAUAAAAUAAAAUAAAAUAAAAUAAAAAAAUACAAAUAUUUUACAAUGAUGUAAACUAAUAGUAUUCAUUGGUCGGGUGGUGCUUCAGUAGUAGGCGGGGCUUCAGCAGUCGGCGGGGCCACAGAAGGAGGAGGCAGCAGAGGUUGAUCAGUUGGAGCUUCACUACGCGGUGCCGCUCCAGAAGACGAAGGCAGAUGCGGUUGGAACAAACCCACAAACCUCCGAUGAUCAAGUAAAAUUUGACCAUCGGUGUCCUGCAUCUGGUCAAUCUUUCUCUUCAUGCUGGUGGCAUAAUUGUGUGCAAGCUUGUGCAAUUGUUUAUUUUCAUGCUUGAGUCCUCUAAUCUCCUCUUUGAGACUCUGUAUUUCAGCCACCAACGAUUCAACGUGACGGGUUCGAGCAAAUAGGCGUUGGGCCAUGUUGGACACGGAACCGGCACACUGCACGCUAAGAGCCAGAGACUCCUUAACCACCAAUUCAUCAGACCGUCUAGCGAGCAGUCUGUUAUCUCUUGGGGUGACAAGGUUCCGGGCCACCACCGCAGCAGUCAUGUCAUUUUUCAUAACCGAAUCCCCCACGGUAAGAGGACCGGUAGGGGAUAUGAAGGAUGGGCGCCAUAUAUUGUCUGGUGAAGGCGGAGCUGCCUCUUCACCAAUGUUCAAGUCAAAACGACGAUCGGAAGGGCCAGACAUUUUUCAGAGGUGGUGAAGAAAGAAGAGAGUCGGAAUGAUCAAGAUUAAACAAGUGCAAGAAGGGAGUGUUUACAGGAGGGUGCUCAAGUGUGUUGUGGAACAAGCUUAACGCCUCUAUAAAAAGAAGAAAUCGGAGAGGCGCUCCUCAGAGAAGCGUCCUCUCGCAAAUCGAAGAGUCGGGGCUCCUUUCUCAAAAGCCGGAUUCUUUUCUCAAAAGAGGCGUUUCAUUUCUUAAAGGCUGGGCUUGCUCAGAAACCACGAGCCGAACCCCGGAUUUCAAAAGAUUAAUUUGUCCAGACGUGUCGUCACUUGUCACACGUAAAUUGCUUUGCGAAAUUCUCGGGCAGUUUGUCGAAGCACCAAUUCAGAAAUCGAAGAGGGAAAUUCAACAGUCAAAGACACGCUAGCUUUCUCAAAAGCUGGGCUUCAACCCACGGGCAAAUCUUCUUUUCCAGAUUUAUCCGCACGUGUCACAUGCUACCUCUACAAUCGACGUUGCUCAGAGCUCGAAGCGCCGAUUCCAGAUAUCAAUGAGGAAUCUGCUUUGCGGAAAUUACGGGCAGCUUUGUCAGAAAAGCGCGUAAUUUGUACUAUUCAUCCAUCCACCGGCUGCCGACAAUGAGUGAGAGAAUAGUUUCGGUUGUGAAGAAAAGUUCCAUAAGUAUCUACCUUCGCCUUCCACAGCAAAGACACAACCUCUCAGCACUUCUUCAUCUCCGAAAAUGCAUUCCCAAAGAAUCCUCCUAAGUUACUCUGUGUUCCUCAUUCCUUGGGAUACUCCUGCGAACAACCCAUUCAAAGCAAAAGUAUUUCAUAUCAUGAAGGUUGAAAGCAAGAGUAUCUCAUAUCAUGCUUUCUCCCUGUCCUUUCUCCAGCCAGCACCUGCUCUCGAGUACUCAUCAUCUUAUGUUUCCGCUUCGUCUCUCACGUAUAAGGGAAGUGAAGAUGAUUCCUCGAAGCAUGUGGAGACAACGUGCUGAUUCAUCCUCAACUAGGGACAAGGAGAAAGAGAGCAAGAGGUGGGCACUUGGAAAGAUUGAAGAAAGAAACAGACCAACACCUCUCCCUCGUGCCUGCCCGCCGUGCUGAAGAAACAAGCAGAGAAGAAUGCAGCUCGUACAAUCAACCCAGCACAAGGAGUCCGAACUGAAGAACUAGAGAAGCUGCCACAUUUGCUUGGAGAACAAAUUAGGAACUGCAACAUAACCAAAGAGCAAAGCUUCGCCGUACAAUAUCAUAAAAUCAUCACUUGCAAGUGAAAAGCUAAGUGUCACCCUGUUCAAGAGGAAAGCUGUGGAAAGUCAACAAGCACGACCAAUGAUUACUUAUUAGUUUUAUUCAUUAUCUUUUAUCGUAAUUUUCAAUUUUUCGUUUGCAAUUUUUUUUUAAUUAAUUUUCUUGCGUACUUAACUGAAUUAUUUCUUUUCUUUGCAGGAACUUUUGGUUAUUUCCACCCUUGAAGUUGAUUGCAGAAUUUUAGCUUGGGGGUCAUCGCUUGAUUUUACUGCAAAUUAGGGAAGUUUUCAGUCCAAUUGCGUUAUUUUGUUUCUUAUUAUUUAUUUAUUUUAUUUUAUUUUUUUUUAUUUGCAUUAUAGUGUUUUCUGACAUUGGGGACAAUGUCAAGUUUAAGUGUGGGGGUAGAAAUCUCCAGAAUUUCAUUUGUCUCUGUGUUGUUGUUUUUUUGUGUUCUUAAUUAGUUUUGUUUUCUUUUAAAAAAAAAUUUAAAUUAAAAAAAAAUCGGAAAAUUUAAAAAUCCAAAAAUAUUGUCUUGUUUCCCUUAUUGUUUUGAAUUAGAUUUUUGUUAGUUUCCCGACCCAAUGAUAUAAUUGGAUCAAAUUUGAACCAUGAUCAUCAAGAACUUAGUUAACAUGUGUUUGGUGAAAUUCCUAAUUCUCUUGUUAGUUUUGUACAUGUUUGAUCAUCUUUGAAAAACCAAAUGCACAUAGCCUUGUUAAUGUGAAACUAAAGUAUGACUUAAAGCUUCAUAUGUGAAUUUAGUGACCAUAUACAUCCUAUGUGAGUUUUUGAGCCUAUUGAAAGUGUGUGCAUUUUUCAUAUACUCCUAUUCUUUCAUGUGUGAUGAACUUAUGUGAGAUACAUCUCUAGAACUUGCGUAACGAUCUUUCAAAAUGUUUGUCAUUGAUUGCAUAAACUUGGAAAUGAUAGAGGCAUUAGGUUUACCACCAUGGCCCAAAUAACCAUGUUUCCCAAAGAAAAAUGAUAUCAUUAGAUUGCCAAUUUGAGCCGUGUAUGUUGAGUCUUUUAUUUCUUAUCACCAGAUAUGUCUACCCUUAUACCUGAAACAUUUUUCCUUACCCUUUCCAAGCGAGCAAUGCGAGAUUGUCUUAUGAGAAAUGUUUGUGAAGUACUUUGAAGGUGUUUGGCAAAAGAAUAAGUGUGGGGGUAUUUCAUGUUUGUAUUAAAAAAAAAAAAAAAAAAAAAAAAAAAAAAAAAAAAAAAAAAAGAAAGAUUGUAUACGAAGAAAAUAAAAAGUUUUUAAAGUUUCAGUUUAAGGGUGUGAUUGGAGGUAUUAGAAGAAUUGUUGGAGAGCUUGAGUUCUUAUAAAUCUAAAGAAAAGAAUUGCUUACAAUGUAGCUUGGAACUUGUGUUUACCUAUUCUUUCAUUUCAAUAACCCUCUUCCUAAACCUCAUUACAUCCAAUAAAAGUCCUCUUGAUUUAAGUUUUGCAAUUAUGAUUGUGGAGAUGAGAUCUUUAUGCAAGCUUAUGGUAGAAAUUUCACAUUUGAUUCUUUGAGCGAAACACAUUAAAACUAAACACAUAUGUGAUUGAGUGUAUAUCCCGUGAGAAUGUUACUAGUUUGCAUAUGAUGAUUUUUAAAAAUAAAAACUUGAAAUUGCAUUAGCAUGGCUAUCUCACACACUACACUUCAAGGAUGAUUCAAAGAUUACUGCUAAUAUUUGAAUAAGGAGGAUGAACUUGGAUUAACUUGUUUGGUGCUAGCUAUGUUUCUUGAUGAUUUGUUUUCUUGAAUGAAAUUCUAUGAGGGUCACAUAGAGGGAAGCUAAUGUUUUUCAUGUUAUUACUUUUUCAUGUUUUCUUUGUUUUGCUCGAGGACUAGCAAAAGUUAAGUGUGGGGGUAUUUGAUCGGAUCAUAUUUAUAUAUAUUUUUACUUCGAAUUCACUCGUCUUUUCUUAGUUAGUUCCUUAUAUUUUUGAGCUAUUUACGUUAUUUUUGUGUUUAUAGGAUUUGUUAUGCAAAGAAAAUAAAAAUAGAACAAAUGAAAUUUUAUGUAAUAAAUUCGUCAAAACUGUCUGUGUAGAUCAGCUUUUAAAUUAAAUUAAAAAAAAAUAUAUAAUAAUGAUAAAUCAUGAUGAUGUUUGAAACAUCAUCAUGAUGGUUUUGUUUUGUAGAAGAAAAGAAAGGAACGGAUGGAGAAGAAGAAAAGAAAGGAAUAAAAAAAGAAAAGAAGGAAUAAAAAAAAUUAAAAGAAGAAUAAGUGAGUCCACACAUGAGGGAUCCAAAGAAAGAUAUACGAAAGAAGAAGAAAAAGGAGAAUCCAAGGCGUGAAAGGGAUAGAGGCGGGAGACAGAGAAGACUUGAAAAAGUGGGAAAUAAAAUAAUAAGAUAGAGAGGAGAAAGCAGCUGGCAGAGACGAAAUUGGGGGGGGGGGGGAGAGAUGGAGCUGCCUUUGGCAGCACGGGGUCAGAGAGGAUAGAGAUACGUGAGGGAAGCAAAUAAGAAAGAAGAAAGAAAAAAAGGUGAGGGACUGACAGAAAAGCAGAGGGCUGCCCUUUGGGCAGCGUGAGGCUGCGCAGAAAUAAAAGGGACAGUGCGGCAUGGCAGGAGAGAAGUGACGCAGGGAGUGAGGGCAGAAGCACAGAAACGCAGCAGAUCUUAUUCUCUCGGUUAAAUCUUUCCAACUUAUGAUUAAUUUUUGGUUUAAUUUUAGAAUAAUGUGUAGCUAAAUUUAUUUUGGCUAGAGGUUAAUUCAAAGCCAUGAAUAUAUUUGUAAUAUGAAUUGAUUACCUUC